CCAUCUCCAAGAGAUCAUUUCCCUCACUAUAUUGAUCGUAAGCCCAUAACGGGAAGUAAAGUUGGCUCGACUGCUCUGCGACUGUACUAAAAUUCUUCCUUCUACUUGCCAUUUCCAUCAACAACAUUCCAAAAUUAUAGACAUCAGCUUUGUAUGAGACCCCUCCAAUAUUUUUGUAGAACAACUUUGGAGCAAUAUAUCCAAUUGUCCCUCUUGCUGCCGUCAAAGUAACAAUGCUAUUGUCUAUGGGAUAUAAUUUUGCAAGCCCAAAAUCGGAGAUCUUCGGGUUAAAGUUCUCGUCAAGAAGAAUGUAGGCUUGAUAUCAAAAUGUAGAAUUUGCAUGUCACAACCUUGAUGUAGAUAUUUGAUCCCUCGAGCAACUCCAAAAGCAAUCUUAUACAUCUUCUUGCAACUUAAAGGGAUACUUCCUUCUGUGGAAUAAAUGUAUUUAUCAAGAGAGCUAUUAGGCAUGAAAUCGUACACUAGAGCGCGCUUUGAUCCUUCAACCCAAUAACCAACAGGUUGCACCAUAUUAACAUGGUGAAUUCUUCCAAUAGUAGCUACCUCACUAGUGAAGUACUGCCCAUUGUUUUUAGGCUUGCCCAAAAGUUUAAUUGCCUCAAAAUGACCAUUGCGUAACUUUCCUUUAAAUGCAGUACCAUAACCGCCCUGGCCCAGCUUGUCCUUGAAUUGAUUAGUCAUUCUCUUAAUGUCCGAGUAAGAGUACCUUAUUGGCAUGAAGUUGUUUUCGGUUUGCAGAAAAUCUUCGAUGAUGCUAAACCCUGACAAAUGUCUUCUUCGCCAUCUAUAGAUUAGAAAUGCAAUCAGAAAUGGAACCCCUAAAAGUAGUCUUCCUACUAAAUAUAAACCUGCACAAGAGAAUUAUCAUCCGAGUCCAGAUAAAGGAAAUUGAAAGAGAGAACAAUUACAAGCUUACCGAGGCAAAUGAGUAUCGCCCAUCCAGGUCCUGCAACAAAUAUGGCAACAGUAUGAAUUGUCAAAAGCUUGAGCAUAAGUUAUAAAAGAGUCUCAAAUGAAUAAAAUCAAGGACUUGUAUUGAAUUUUUUAUGUAUAUUUCAUAUAUAAAACAGUUACAAGAUCAAACAUAUAUAGAAGAAGAAACAGGAAAGAAAAUGGAGGACAAAAGGUAGAGGACAAUGGCAGCUAAGCAAGCAUAAUGAUGACCUCCACUCUCUCUAACUUAAGCCACUAACUAGCUUUACAAUGAUGAGGGAAUAUUAUCACUUAACUAUGCCUAAAGUAAACAUUAAAUAAGAGAUGCACCAUGUCUAAAACAAACAGCUAACACUAGCACUAAGACUAGCCGAAAGCUGCCGAAAGUUGAGUUGUUCUCCAUCAAAACUAGACAAAAGCUUGCAUUAUUUUUCCAACACUCCCCCUCAAGCUGGAUCUAGGGGAUCCUUUGAGCCAAGCUUGGACAGAAUGCACAGAAACGGAACUGUAGGAAGAGAUUUGGUAAAAAUGUCAGCCAAUUAAUCAUGACUGCGAGUAUAGUAGGUGGUUAUGAUUUUGGAUUGAAACUGUGCUCGAACAUAAUGACAAUCCACUUCAAUAUGCUUCGUUCUCUCGUGGAAGACUGGAUUGGAAGCAAUAUGCAUGGCAGCUUGAUUGUCACAGAACAUAGACAUAGGUUCAUUGCUGGGAAAGCCUAGAUCCAACAGAAGGUUUUCCAGCCAAAUAAGUUCACAUGCAGUGGAGGCCAUAGCUUGCUACUCGGCCUCUGCACUAGAUCGAGCUACGACAAUUUGCUUCUUGCUGCGCCAUGUUACCAAAUUGCCACCUACAAAGGUGCAAAAACCUGUUGUUGACUUGCGAUCAAGAAAAUUCCCAGCCCAAUCAGCAUCUGUAUAUCCCAUGAUGGCAGUGCUAUCAUUUUUUGUCAUAAGGAGUCCUCGACCAAUACCCUUUUAGAUAACGAAGAAUUCUCUUCACAAUUUGCAUAUGAGCUAAUGUAGGAGCAUGCAUAAAUUGACUCACAAUACUCACGGCAUAAGAGAUAUCAGGACAUGUGAUUGUGAGAUAAAUAAGCUUUCCUACAAAUCUUUGAUACUUAGUAAUAUCAGAGAGAGCUUCACUGUGAGUACUAAGUUGUAGCUUGCUAUCCAAAGAAGUACGUGCAGGUUUACUAUUUAUUAAGCCAGAGUCCUUCAAAAUAUCAAGAAUGUAUUUCCUUUGAUUGAAAAAGAGGCCUUCCUGUGAAUUUGCAAGCUUAAUACCUAGGAAAUAUUUGAGACGUCCCAAAUCUUUGAUUGCAAAUUUGUUUUGAAGAGCAAGCUUGAGAGAGUGAAUUUCUUCAGUAUUGUCACCAAUCACUAUAAUAUCAUCAACGUAGAUUAAAACGAUUACUUUUCCAACUAAGCCAUCACGAACAAAUAGUGAGGAAUCAACACUACUUCUUUGAAAGCCAAACUCUUCAAGAAUGGAGCUCAGUUUUGCAUACCAUGCACGUGGAGACUAUUUCAAUCCAUAAAUGGAUUUGUGCAGUUUACAAACCAUGUCAGGGUCAUCUGAUUGAGGAUGUCCGGGUAGUAGUUUCAUGUACACUUCCUCCUCUAAUUCCCCAUGCAAAAAAACAUUCUUCACAUCCAUUUGAUAAAGAGGCCAAGACUUAUUUACGGCAACUGAUAAUAGAACCCUUACAGUGUUCAUUUUGGCUACGGGAGCAAAUGUUUCCUUGUAAUCCAAGCCAUAAGUCUGAGUAAAUCCACGAGCCACCAAACGAGCUUUGUGCAUUUCAAUCGUCCCAUCUGAGUUGAACUUAGUCUUGUACACCCAACGGCUACCAACUGAUUUCUUCCCUUCGGGAAGUUUAACUACACUCCAGGUUCAGUUGUCAUGAAGAGUUUGGAGUUCAUCCCUCAUAGCUUUUUGCCAAAUUUCAAGUUCAUUUGCUUCUUGAAAUGUUUGUGGUUCAUGAGUAUUGUCCAAGGUACUAAGAAAAGAAGUAUGAGAGGGGGAAAACUGCUUAUAGGAAACAAAGUUUGUAAGAGGAUACCUAGAAGUGUAGGUGACAUAAUCAUGUAGUUGAAGUGGAGGCUGUCGAACCCUAGAAGGGUUUCGACGAAUUGGAACUUGAGGUUCAAUAUCUGUGGUUUGAGAUGAAUGUAGCUCAUGCAAUAGAGUUGGUGGGUUACGUGAAAUGAGACUUUCUUGAUAGAGAGGAACACUAGGUAAUGGAAACAUGUCACUAAAAAACUCCCCCUAAUCUGCAUCACUUAGUUUCUUGGAGAAGUAGGGCAUGUUUUCAUCAAAUCUCACAUCCCUUGAAACCAUUAUUUUCUUUGUGAUUGGAUUGUAACACUUGUAGCCCUUUUGGGUAGAUGAGUAACAAAAAAAAACACAUUUGAUUGCUCGAGGAUCCAGUUUAUCAUGGUGGAGAGAUUGGUUGUGAAAAAAGCAAGUGGACCCAAAAACUCUCAAGUGUGAGAGAUCAUUCUGUCUGUCCUUCAACACUUCAUAUGGAGACUUGAAACUGAGUACUUUACUAGGCAACCUAUUGAUUAGGUAGGCAACUAUAAGUACUCCUUGUGACCAAAAUUUCUUUGGCACAUUCAUAUGAAACAUGAUUGAUCUUGUCUUCUCAAGAAGGUCUCUUCUCUUUCUUUCAGCAAUCCCAUUUUGUUGGGGUGUGCCAACAUAUGUUGUUUGGUGCAGUAUGCCAUGAAUACUAAGAUAUUGAGACAUGUUAUGGGACAUGUAUUCAGUGUCAUUGUCGGAUCUUAAUAUAUGAAUUUUUUAUGCAAAUUGAGUACCAACUAGUUUGUGAAAAUCUUGAAAAACAUUUGAAAGUUCACUCUUAAAUUUCAAAAGAUACAACCAAGUCAUCCUUGUAAAAUCAUCAACAAAGGUUACAAAGUAUUUAUAUCCAUCAAAGGACUCUAGUAUUGGACCCCAAAUGUCUGAAUGAAUGAUUUUGAAAGGAUGGCUAGCUCUAGAAGUGGAAGAAUCAAAAGGCAACCUAGAAAACUUAGACAAGUGACAAACAUCACACUUUAACUUGUCCUUACAUAUUUUUGGAAACAAAAAAGACAUUACUUUAUCAGAAGGAUGUGCCAAACGUUGAUGCCAAAGUUGUUGGUCUUGAAAAACACUUGAACUGACUUGAAAAAACUUGGGAUUCUUAGUGUCUUUUGCCAAGUAGUAAGGCCCAUUCAACAAGAAACCUUCACCAAUCGUUCUCUUGGUGAUGAUAUUCUGAAAAAUGACAUUGUGAAGGGAGAAAAUGACUAGACAGUUUAGAGAAUUGGUGAUAGCUCCUACUAAUAGAAGUUGAAAAGGAAAAGAAGGUAUGUAAAGGGCUGCUGACUUUAUGUGUUUUGACAAUAAGUUGAUUUUUCCUUUUCCUACAAUUGUGGCACCCUUCCUAUUAGCUACUAACACUUGAGAAAAAUUUGUCAUUUUUGUAAAAUCAUGUAAGUUAUUAAUUUUAUUUGUCAUGUGAUCCGUGGCUCCUGAGUCAAUGAUCCAAUAAUCAUGUCCAUUACUAGCAUUUAGGGCAGUAGAGAAGGCACAGAAAAUACUUGGGAUAUCUUUCUGUGAAACAUGGUCAUGUUUAGCCAGAAAACCAGCAAAUUUUCCAAGUAAAGCUGUGUGAUCCUUCUCUUCAGCUACGAGAGCUUCAUCUCUAUUGUUAAGCACUGUUUGUUGUGGAGAUAUGCUGCAAAAUCAUUGAUUAAUGCAGCAGGAUUAGUAGUGAAAUUCACCAUUCCUUCUGUCGACAAGGUAGCUGCAUGGUUGGCCUUGUAGCUAUUGAUGUUCAGAUAUUUUUGUGUACCCUUUAUCUUUGGACCUUUUGUCUCCUUCAAGAACUUAGGUUUCAAUUCCGGAUGAAGAAUCCAACAUCUGUCUUUUAUAUGGCCAAGAGAAUCACAGUAGUUGCGCUUUAAAUCUGGUCUUUUUCCCUUGUAAACUUUGCCUUUAGGACGUUUGUUGCUAAAGACAUAAGCCCUAGUCUCAGAAACGUUGUCUUUAGUCUCUUGAUUCAUGACUUUCCUCCUUUCUUCUUCCCUUUGGAUUAUGGCACACACACCAGUGAAGGAAGGGAGUUCAGCAUUCAUUAAGAUGUGACUUCUGAGGUCUUCAAACUCUGGACCUAAGCUUGCCAAGAGUUGAAAAAUCUUGUCUUCUUCUGCUCUCUUGAUUAACACAGUGGCAUCAGUGGUAUGAGGACAAUAAACAUCGAGCUCAUUCCACAUGUUUGUAAGACUACCAAGGUGUUGAACAAAUGCUUUGCUUCCUUGUUAUAGACUUGCCAGAUUCUUCUUAAGCUAGAAGACACGGGCAUCAUUAUUUUGAUUUCCAUACAUCUCUUUUACUUGUUUCCAAAGAUGCAUGGGUGACUCGAAAUAACUGAAAAUUUCAGCAAUCCUUCGCUCCAUUGAAUUGAGCAACCAAGACAUGACCAACUGAUAUAUGCACAGCCACGACUCGUAUGUAGAAGAAGUGACUACUGGAGCUUCAAUAACACCAUUUACAUAGCCAAGCUUUGAUCUUCCUCCAAGUGCAAGAGAUACUGCACGACUCCAGGGAAGGUAGUUGAAUUCAUUCAACAAAACAGAACUGAGACGUUGAUUAGGAUUGACCUCAACGUCAGAAAAUGCUGGAGCAUCCAUCGAGCUUUUAGUUUCAGAGAGUUCUUCAGCCAUCUUGGCUUAGAGCAAAAGAAACUUAGCGGAAACGAUUACUAAAGUCAGGAAUUUAGAGUUCCUGCUCUGAUACCAUAUUGAAUUUUUGAUGUAUAUUUCAUAUAUAAAACAAUUACAAGAUCAAACAUAUAUAGAAGAAGAAACGGGAAAGAAAAUAGAGGACAAAAGGUAGAGGACAAUGGCAGCUAAGCAAGCAUAAUGAUGACCUCCACUCUCUCUAACUUAAGCCACUAACUAGCUUUACAAUGAUGAGGGAAUAUUAUCACUUAACUAUGCCUAAAGUAAACAUUAAAUAAGAGAUGCACCAUGACUAAAACAAACAGCUAACACUAGCACUAAGACUAGUCGAAAGUUGCCGAAAGCUGAGCUGUUAUCCAUCAAAACUAGACAAAAGCUUGCAUUAUUCUUCCAACAACUUGAGAUAUUAUAUGCAAGAAAUACAAGUUCUUAUUGAAGGAUAUCCCCGGAAACCAUAGAGGAUUAUCUGCAAGAAAUGUAAAAUCCAAAGUUUGAGAUGUGCAAGCCCAAAUAAAUGAUGGUAAAAACGAGCAAAAAACAAAGAAAAACUGAGUUUAAUGGGACUGCUCUAGCGAAAGACUUGUAGCUUAGUUGGUUAAGAACAUUCAUCAUUUCGCUAGAGAUAGCGAGUAUGAUUUUUUCCUCUCCCAAAUAUUAUUUGUGUAAAAGAAUAGAAAAUUGUGACUGUUCCUUGGAUUGACAAUUGUCGUUUAAACAAAAAGAAGAAAAGAAACAAGAAAUGAAAAAACUUUUGGAGAGAACGUUCUUACUAACGUAUAAUCUUCCAUGAGCAAGAAACCUAUUACUAAUGUAUAAUCUUCCACGAGCAAAGAAACCUACAGAGAUGAAAUCAUGAAAAAAAAAAGGCUUUUUAUAUUAGGAAAACUAAUGAAAAUGGCUUGAAAACUUUGAGUUUUAAUGAUAAGGACAAAAUAAAGGGUAAAGUGAAUAGUAUCAGGUUUGACUUUUUAGUGUAAAAAUGUGGUUUUUCGUUAAAGUGAACAGUACUGCGAACUUUUCGUUAAAACUCCCUUUUAUAUUAGCACCUCACAAAAUAUUGAAUGCACCCCACAUAAAAAAUUAAUAUUAAAUGACUUAUUUACCCCACUAUGCAACGAUAAUUUUGACCUUAUUAGAUUUAAAAAAAAAAAUUCUAAAUACACCCCAAAUCACUUUUAGCGUAUUAUUUAUCUUCUCAACUAUCAAAACCCAGCUUCACAUGAGGUAAGACUUCAUAUUUUUCAUUGUUGUAGUGAUUUUGAUGACAUCGAUAAUUAUUUAAUCUUGCGUUUGCUGCGUUAUUUAAACUUCUAUAUUCAUAUUCAUCUUUUAGGGAUCACAAUGAGAGUUUACAUGAAAUCUCCUUACCUUGUCCGUCCAAGAAAUUUUUUCUCCAAUUUCUCAAUGUUUGGAAGUAAUGGAUACCAAUGUUUUCCAAGUGCCCCACACUGCAGAAAUGAAGUUCGUGAAAGUCAAAAAUUGCAUACCUCAAAGUUAAACCUAACAAUGAAGCCAUCUGUUACCCUACCUAGCAAAUCAUCAUUUUGAAAUCAUUCGGCAAACUAAACGUUCAGAUGAUUUAAAAUCUUUCGGCAAACUAAACGUUCAAAUAGUUAGAUUCAGUCCCUAAAAAUAAAAAAUCAGUGUUAUAAGAUUUGAGAAACGUGGGAUGUAUAUACAAAAUAUAAGGUGUAUAUAGAGAAUGUGGGAUGUGGGGUAUUAUGGAAAAGUAUGUGGGGUGUAUUAAGAUAAUUUUUAAGUGAAAAAGCAAAUGUGGGGUGUAUUAAAGAUGUGGGGUUUAUUCAACAAUUUGUGGGGUGUUAAUAUAAUGAGCCAAAAGAAAACAUUAGUCCACAUUUAAAAUCAAGUUUUGACACAUACUCACCAAGAAAUGGUGUUUGGUGCAUUUUACAUUUUUAUUGUCCAGAUUUUUGUAUGAUAUGUACAGAAAAUCCAAAAGGGUUGUUUAAUUUACACCCGCCACAUUGUUGAAUACACCCUACAUACAAGGGAGGAAGGGAAAGUUUUCAGGUGAAAAAAGGCGAUAUAUGGUCUCAAGCAGUCUCCUCGGGCUUGGUUCGAGAUAUGAAGUUACCUCACAUUUACUUUUUCAACUACAACUUAUCUUAGUGCACCUCACGUACUUUCCUAUAAUACCCUCAAACCCCACAUUCUCUACAUACACCUCACACUCCCUACACCCCACAUAUCCACAUCCUAGGUGCAGCCUCAGUGUCCCAUGGAGAAGCAUCGCCUUACGAUCCUAUUUAAGUAUACAAAUAAAUUUGGAAAACUAGACAAAAAUUGGUACCCGUCAACCAGAACCCGCACAGAUUAUCUUCGAAUAACAUGAAUUUAUUACCUCCGAAUAACAAAAACUUGCCGCAAUCGAGUUUGUGAUUUGUAAUACAUUCAUUUUGUGAUCAGGUGUUUUUUUUUAAUGGGUGGUUCUUACUGCCUUAGCAAUGAUAAAGGUAAGCAGGAUUAGUUUUCCAUAACUAGUCAAAGAAGUACUGAACUAAACCAAAUAGGUUCCAUAACCAGUCAAAUUAAAACUAUUUUCUUUGAUAAGGAAAAUCUGCACUCACCAAUAUUUGGUUACAUAUAUAGAAGGCCCUAAUUUGCAUAACGAUGUCGCUGAAAUCACUAAAACAAUAAAAAAUUAUAAGGACUUACUUUAUGUGUCGAUAGGGGUGUAUUUAGAAGUUUCAUUUAAAAUUAAAAAAAAAAAACUUAUGAGCCCUAAAUAGUCAUUGCAUAUUAGAGUACAUAGUUAUUUAAUAAUGAAUCUUAAUAUGGGGUUUCUAGUUGUGUUUGGCUAAAAACUUAAAAAGUGUUUUUGACUCAUAGAAGCACAAUUUGAAGAAACAUUGCUUCUUAAAAAUUGCACUUGGAUUUUAAUUAAAAUUUCAACAUGUUUAUAAUAACAAAAAAAAUUAGCAGAAGUUAUUAUGAAAGAAAUCAAUACCAACGUUAUUUUUAUAUUAAGUCAUGAUCUAUUUGGUAUUGCUUUCUUUCAAAAGCAUUUCUGCUCAACUUGUGCAAAAAAAUGUUUUUCGUUAUAAACAUGUUGAAAAUUUUCUGACCAAUCCAAUUGAUUUUUCGAAGAAGAGGUUAAAGUGCUUUCUGAAGUGCUUUCUGAAGAUGCAUUGAUAUAUGAGCGAAAAGAACUUUAAUUUUUCUUUCAAAGGCAAUUGGAAGCGAUUUUUACCUUUCAAGAGCAAUCCAAAUAUGCCCUUGUCCAAAUAUAAUUAACUAAUUCCUAAAAGGGUUACCUGUUGUUGUGAACUCAGAAGCUAUAACAGAAUAACAUUGGAUUAAAAAAAAUAAUAAAUACAAAAAAAAAGGGAGAUUAAUUUUUGAGACGAACUCCCUUACCGUAAAUCACCUCCCACCGAUAUCGAAAGAAACCUACAGGGACAAAGAAGAAGACAACGUGUUUGGGUUAGAACUUGAACUUUGAGCUCAAAAGGAAGUUAGCCCAAAAGAAGGUCUAGAAGGAAAGAAGCCCGAGGCUCAGUCGAAGCCCAGAAGGCAGGAGAGGCCAUUUUUCCGACUAAGUGCAGAUCACUUAAGUCACUUGCUCACCUACCUAGAGGUCAAGUGGUAUAGACCAUCCAGCUAAUUAGCCCAAAAGUACUUUACAAUGGCAGUACAAGUAAAAAGUUGAUGAGUCACUACCCUUCAGCUGCAUUCGGGCAAGAUUGAUGUUGCAGGCAGCCAAGCCAAAUCGUCUAUAAAAGAGGAAGGAGAAAUCAAAGAUAGGGACACUCAAUCAAACAAACAAAUACACAAACUCUGCUCAAGCUAGAUUUGCAUACGAAGCUGUAGUCAGCACCAAGCCUUCAUCAUUUUCAGGAUCAACCUUCACCAGAAGUCUUUGUAAAAGCUCUGCUACCUUGUCUGAAUCUCGAUGUAGUAUCGAUUCCCUCCUAUAAACUCAUCUCCCAAUCUCCCUUUCUAGCACUCAAACCCUCUAUAAAUCAGAAAGAGAGGAAGUUGCAAGACAAUCAACCUUACCCGACAAGGUGAAACCUUGCCCAACCCUCUUUGUCCUAUCUUUCCAUUCAUAAAACUAGUAAUAUAAUGUAUACUUCCAUCUGUAUCCAAGUUAUUUCUAGCAAGUUUAUGAUUAAAAGACUUCUUGGUUCUUGGAUCUGGCCGGUUUAAUGGUGCCCAAUCAUGCUUGACUAGAUCUAAGUUCUAACCUUUCGGGCAUAUAAGAUUGAUCAACCAAAAGUCCUUGGUCUUAAGGCAUAAAAAAGAACUUUAUGUGGACUUAACCCAUCCACGACAAUCCUUGAUAACAAGAAGUCCGAAGUUACUUGGGGCGCAAGUAAUUACCCUAUUUCUUAGUUUUGCUCCUGUUAUAUUAUGAUGUCAUGGAACGCUUGAGUAUAGAAUUAAUUCUGAUAGGAAGCCUCAAGGCCUAUAUUUAAGGCCCUACAAAGGCACCUAUCUGGGUUCGUUCUGCUUUGCGGGCUCGGGUGAUUAAAGUAUAACAAUUGUAAAACUUCUGCAACAAUAAAACAACUACUAUAUCUUCAAGUACUAGGUUAGUUUUGAUUAUGAGCCUCAAGGCCUACACCUAAGGCCCUACAAAGGCACCUUUCAUAGCUAACUUGGUCUUUCGGGCAUAUACGAUUAAACUAAACAUCUGUUUUACAUCUGUCAUGCUAAAGAUGGCAGUGGCAUGCCUGAAUACCUAAAGUUAAUUUUGAUUGUGAGCCUCAAGGCCUACAUCUAAGGCCCCCACAAAGGUACUUUUCAGGAUUAACUCUGUCCUUCUCUUACAGCCCGCCAAUAAGCAGAAGCCCGACAGACAAUAUCAACCGGCGCCAACCUCUUGGGGAGCUGUGUGCUCGUCGGCCAGGAAACGUCCCCACCAGAAAUUCCUCAAGACGAACAUAGUUUUGGCACGCCCGGUGGGAUUUCUUGAUCAAAUCUUACUUGUCAAAGCAAUAUGUAAAAAACAUCUGAAAAUUUAAAAAGGGCAGCUGUUCCAGAAAAAAUCAUUAAUGAAGACUUGCAAACUACAUUGUUCCAAAUGUUGCAAAGAUUGGAAAACGCCUCUGCAGGCUUCAGAAAGAAAACAGACCUGGUGAUGGGACUAACUAUUCCCAUAUCUUUACCUCUACUUGGGGGAAAAGAUGAUGGGGAAGAAGAAAGGAAAAAGCUUGAGGACAACCAGCCAGAUGAAGAAAUGACCUUGGCAAAUAAUCCACCUAGCCCAUCAAUAUUCUUACAGAAUAAUCAGGGGCAAGUCGAAAUAAUGGUGGACAAGCAUCCAGAUCCAUUUUCAGAGGCCCCAGUCAAUAUGAUUAAUUUAGCAUGGGCCGAGAAGGGGAAAGGAAAGGUUGCAAGGGAGACAGAAGAAGAAAGGCCGGCUGACAAAUCCACAAAAGGGGUGAUCAAAUUGCCCGAACAUCCAAAAGCAGCCAUAAUCAAAGGGAUGGUUCUGUGCAGUAGAUGCCAAUGCGAAUGUGAGCUCGAAAUACCGCCAGCAGGAGUUCUCAUUGAUCAUGAGUUGAUCAGAAGGAAAGAAGAAAAAGAAAGAAAAGAAGCCCGCGAGAAGGCUAGGAGGAUAACAGGAAAAGAUACUUCCCGAAGUGUUUUUCAGCGGUAGGGAGGGGAUUCCCAACCUAGAGCUUUAUCAGAAAUAUUACGAAAUCAUGAAGCUUCUGAGGAAGUGGAAGACAAAGAGGCCAAAGGUUCAAAAGAGAGGGAGAUAAGGCAUCCCCAAUAUAGCCAUACAAAAAGAGAAGUUAAAAUGAAUGAUAGGAUUGUCAAAAAGGAUAAUCCUGCUCGUCUCGAGCGAAAAUGGUACGUGGUCAGAAAGAAUGGGUAACCCGCCAAACAAAUGGGAGCUUCCAUGAUUGGAAGGGUCCAGAGGCAGCACAAAGCCUACAUGAACUCUUUAAAGACUUCUGCGACGUCUGAAGCCUCCAAGAAUCAAAAGUUUGAAAAAACAUCAUCUGAGGGAAGUAGUUAGUUCCACUGGAGGAGUAAAAAAGAGGUGGAGAUGGCUAAUAGCAAAACAGAAGGCGAAGGAAACCAUGUACCACAAAGCCUACACCUUGGGAAGUACAGGAUCUUGAGGACAACUCAAGAAGAUAUGAUAAUGAUGCCAAUUCCUGGAUAGAAGACAGGGCCUAUUUGUUUUGGAACUAUUUCGCCCGAAAUGAGACUCUCUUCUAUAUCAUUGGUGGAUCUUUUCGACGAAGUGCCAAAGCAGAUACUAGAUUCAGGCAUAAAUUAACAGGAAGGGGCACCAUAACCACUACUCCCAGAAGAUGCGAUGGCCUGGUUAAAUGAGUUUAUGGGCCAAAUCGGGAGCAAGAAAUAAGACUUUCCAAAACCUAGCAAUUUUCAUGUCAACCUAACGUAUGUGUUAUCUGCAAUGUUUGGUGCCGGGCCGGAUCAGCCCGCCGCUAUGGAAAGUGACUAUUUGACAACGGAGCCAAUGAUGGCCCAUGUCAGUGUUGAAGUAGCUAGAGAGGGAGAGUUGGGAAAAGUUGAAUCAUCUGAGACAUCCAAGGAUGGUCUAUUAAGGAUCUAUACGGAUAAAAUGGUGUUCAGCCGCCCAAAUAUGUUGCUAGCCAACCAUCUUAAGCCAAUAUAUGUUGCAGCUCAUUUGGAGGGGGUGCCUUUCAAAAAGGUUUUGAUUGAUGGUGGAGCGGUUGUUAAUGUACUACCAACCAAGCAAAUGAAGAAGAUAGGGAGAGGUGUAGAAGAUCUCAUUCCCACGAACUUCACAGUGUUGAGCUUCUCGGGCGUUAUCACCAAAACUCAUGGGAUUUUGCCCUUAGAAGUGGACUUGGGGUCCAAACAAAUCAUGUUGGCAUUAUUUGUGGUGGAUUGCGCUUCAACCUAUGAAGCAUUACUCGGAAGAAACUGGAUCCAUCAAAGUCUCGCCAUACCCUCCACUCUAUAUCAGCAAGUUAUUGUUUACCAUGAGGCAGGGACGGAGGGAACAUGCUUUCGGGAGAUGGUGGAGGCCGAAUCACGACCAUUUUUCCCUACAGCCAAUGUUGCGGAGGCAAGUUUCUACAAUCCCAAUGUAGGAAUUUUGCAAUGUUCAGGAGCAUAUGAGAACGACCGCCCUACCAAGGUACGAGCCAAAAGCUCUUAGAAUAAGGAAUGCUCCUCACUAGAGAAGAAUGGGAUAAACCCUGCAUCGUCCCAACAUCCCAAUACCAUUAAUGAUAGAACAAAAGAGAAAGGAUCAGGUAAUGGCAGUCAGGUCCCUAAUCAAAAGACUGUUGGUGUGGGAGAGGAAAAAAGCAAGAAAUGGAGCUCUUAGAAAAAGAAGAGCAGGAAUGGCAGCUAAGAACUCCGACCAGCCAGGAUAAAAGCAGAUAAGAGCUUUGCGGAGAAAAACUGAAUGCGGCCAUACGAAUGGCCGAUUGCAUAUAUGACUUGGAUGGGCUAGACGACUUGCCCGAAAGCCCGAAGUUAGUCGAAUUUUUUUGUGCGCAGAGCCUGACAAGCCACCACCAGAAGUUCAGGAUCCUUUGGAAGUCAUUGACUUGGGGACAGAAUGAGAUCCAAGACCUAUACAAAUUAGUGGUUUGUUAGACACUAAUGAUCGGGCAAAGAUUGUCUAUCUUUUGCAAGAAUUUAAAGAUUGUUUUGCUUGGCAUUAUACUGAGAUGCCAGGUUUAGAUUCAACCUUGGUGGAACACAAAAUGCCCAUCAAGGAGGGAUAUAAACCUAUUAAGCAAGCGCCACGAAGGAUGUCAAAAGAAAUAGAAGAAAAGGUCAAAGAAUAAAUUGAAAGACUAGUAAAAGCUGGAUUUAUUAGGCCUGCCAAAUAUGUAGAGUGGUUGGCCAACAUUGUACCCGUUUUAAAAGCCAUAACAAAAGCAAUACGAUGUUGCGUUGAUUACAGAAAUAUUAAUGGCGCUAUACCAAAAGAUGAAUAUCCCAUGCCCAUGGCUGAUCUACCUAUAGAUGCAGUGGCAAAACACAAAGUCUUAUCUUUUAUGGAUGGAAAUGUCGGGUAUAAUCAGAUAAAGAUGGCCCAGGAAGAUAUACACAAAACAACUUUUAGGUGUCCCGGGCAUGUGGGGGCAUAUGAAUACCUAGUUAUGCCAUUCGGGCUCAAGAAUGCUGGUGCAACCUAUUAAAGGGCAAUGAAUGCCAUCUUUCAUGAUCUGAUUGGCCAUAACAUGGAGGUGUAUAUUGAUGACAUCAUGGUGAAAUCCAAAACAGAAAAGCAGCAUCUGACAGACCUCAGACAAGCUUUGACAAGGAUGAGGAUCCAUAAGCUAAAGAUGAAUCCAAAGAAGUGCGCGUUUGGAGUGAGAGCGGGCAACUUCUUGGGAUUCCUGGUUCAUCAAAGAGGUGUAGAAGUGGACAAGAGCAAGUUUCGGGCAAUAAUGGAGUCGCCUUUGCCCAACAACAAGGUGCAACUUCAGAGACUGCUAGGCAAAAUUAAUUUCGUAAGGAAAUUCAUUGCCAAUUUAGCGGGCAAGAUCCAGCCGCUGACUCCUCUGCUGAGACUGAAGGAUAAAGAAAAUUUUGAGUGGGGACCACCACACCAAAAGGCUUUCGACAGCAUCAAAGCCUAUUUGACUUCUCCACCAGUGUUAGUACCACCUCAAAGGGGAAAACCCUUAAAGCUAAAUAUUUCUACUUCAGAGAAAUCAAUUGGGAGUUUACUAGCCCAAAACAAUGAAGGCGGGAAGGAGCAGGCGGUGUACUACCACAGUAGAAUUCUGACUGUGUAUAAACAAUAUACUCCCCAAUAGAAAGAUUGUGCCUAGCUAUGUAUUUCACUGCUAGUAAGUUGAGGCAUUACAUGUUACCUUGUCACAUGCACAUCAUCGCCAAAAUAGAUGUGAUAAAGUAUAUGUUGUCAAAACUAAUGCUAACAGGAAGGAUUGGGAAGUGGAUUCUUGCAUUAUCAGAGUUUAGCUUGCAAUAUGAACCCCAAAGGGCGGUCAAGGGCCAAUCAAUUACCGACUUCUUGACAGAGCAUCAAGAGUCUCAAGAUGAGAUUGUCAAUAUACCGGGGACCCUGGAAGUGACUAGCAUUUGGAUCACACCAGGCAAGAACAUCUCGGGCAAAAAAGAGUGGGUACAACAAGAAAUAAAAAGAGUAAAUGGCCUAUGGAUUACUCAUUGGAAGCUGUAUUUUGAUGGUUCUUGCACUCAGAAGGCUUCUGGAGCUGGGAUUGUCAUCAUAAAUCCCCAAGGCGUUCACCAUUAUUACUCGUUCCUCCUAAAUUACCAAGGGAACACCAACAAUCAAGUAGAGUAUGAAGCCUUGAUAAUUGGUUUGGAAAUCUUGAUAGAGCUGGGGGCAAUGGAGGUAGAUGUGUUUAGUGAUUCAAAGUUAGUAAUAAAUCAGCUAAAUGGAGAAUACAAGUGCAAACAUAUCACCAUGGCUGGGUAUUACUUGGCGGCCACGCAAUUAUUGAGCUAUUGGGAUUCUGAGAUAUCAGUUAAUUAUGUCCCCAGGGGAUUAAAUCUGGCGGCCAACGAGAUGGCAUAAGUAGCCUCAGGAGUACCAAUCCAGGAAAGGAAAUAUGGAGUAGAUGUUGAGAUUAAAAGAAGAAAUCUUCCUUCUAUCCUAGAAAGGGGAUUCAGUUUAGAUAUAAUGGUUCCAGAAAGAGAAAUGGAAGACUGAAGAUCGCCUAUCAUUCAUUAUUUGAAAGAUCCUUCUUCACCCACAAGCAAGAAUAAUAGACAGCAAGCAACCAAGUAUGUCUUAUGGGUGGGGAGCCUACUAAGGAAAACUCCAGAUGGACUACUGUUGAAAUUCCUAGGCCAAGAGGAAUCUAUGAGAGUAAUGGCCGAAGUACAUGAAGGAAUAUGCGGGGCACAUCAAGCUAGAACGAAGAUGAGAUGGUUGCUUAGGAGGUAUGGGUAUUUCUGGCCCGACGUAGAAAAAGAUUGCAAGUCUUAUCCCCGAGGCUGUGAAGAAUGUCAAAGGCAUGGACCCCUUCAACAUGUGCCUUCAGUACCUUUAAAUCCAAUGGUCAAGCCUUGGCCCUUCAGAGGAUGGGCAAUGGACUUCAUCGGGCAGAUUUAUCCAGCUUCUAGCAAAGGGCAUACUUUCAUAAUUGUGGCAACGGAUUACUUCACCAAAUAGGUAGAAGCUUCGGCCGUAAAGACCAUAACCUCACCUGCAGUCAAGAAAUUUAUUGAGACCAAGAUUCUGCACAGGUUUGGGGUGCCCGAAACCAUAGUCACGAAUCGCGGGUCAUCUUUUAUAUCAAAAGAAGUUGAAGAGUUUGCAAACAAAUACAAGGAAGGUAAAGCUGAAGUCUUUCAAGGAAGGAGAUUUAGUAUGGAAAACAGUCAUCCCUUUAAGAGCUCAGCUGAGGGGCUUUGGGAAAUGGAGCCCAACAUGGGAAGGUCCUUUCAUUGUUAGUCAAGUAUCAGACAAAGAAGGAUACUACUUGGCGGAUAUCGAAGGAAAUUGGCAGAAACAUCCCAUCAAUGUCAAAUUCUUAAAAAAGUAUUGUCCUACAUUAUGGGAUGUUAGGGAUUGUUAUAUUGAAGAAGAUGUAAGAUAAAGUAGGCUUCGGGGUGCCAGAGUGCAGUGUUCGUUCAUCGACCAUUCAAGAAAACAGAAAGAUAAAAGUUGUUAAAAUGAUGUUUUAUUCAUUUCGAAAAAUUCGUGAAAUUUACAUCAGAUUCAGCUCCAAUGUGAUAUGCUCAGUUCCUUCUAGUUGCAGUGAUGUCUCGACCAGUUUUUUGAUGUCUUCAUGGACAAAACCCGAUUAGGUGAUCGGGUUGUGAGGCCAAGAUGAGCUUGGUAAAUGACCCUCAAUGCGAACCUUCACCGGGUAUGAUGGUAAAGUCUGACUUAUCGGGGCAACUACCAGAAUGGUGAUCCUUCGACCAAACUUGUAAAAGUUCAAAGCUCAGAACGAGGAAACCGCCUCACUAAAGGUGUUGGGGAUAGCGGGGUGUUUGACCAAAGGUGUUGGAGAUGGUAGUUACUUGAUGAAAAUCUUUUUUCUCUCGAAAAGGGAGUUUUAGGAAACUCCACGUGAAUUAUGAGGAACCCAUUUCCCUAGUUUUAGAAGAAAACUUAGAAGGUAGAAACGCCCGAGGGUGAUAAAGUGGAAGGUUGAAGAUGAUCUGUUGGCUGGGCAUAAGAAGCUUUUGGCUUAAGUUAUUUGUUCAAAAAUGAAGAUUUGAGCCGGAAUUUAUAAGAACAUCAGAGGAUAGCUCAAAGGUCAUAUGAAGAGCAAGAGACGCGUGAUCGCAAUAAACCCGUCUAGAAGACACAAGUUCCUCAAACAGGCGUCACAUGCGCAGGCGACUAUUCAGUCAAUAUUGGCGCCUGGAAUUCCAGCCUAAAUAUUAAUUGAAGGGGGCACUAUUUGGGUUAAAACUUUAACUUUGGGAUCAAAAGGAAGUUAGCCCAAAAAAAGGUCUAGAAGGAAAGAAGCCCGAGGCUCAGUCGAAGCCCAGAAGGCAGAAGAGGCCCUUUUUCCGACUAAGUGCAAAUCACUUAAGCCACUUGCUCACCUACCUAGAGGUCAAGUGCUAUAGACCAGCCAGCUAAUCAGCCCAAAAGUACUUCAUAAUUGCAGUACAAGUAAAAAGCUGAUGAGUUACUACCCUUCAGCUGCAUUCGGGCAAGAUUGAUGUUGCAAGCAGCCAAGCCAAAUCGUCUAUAAAAGAGGAAGGAGAAAUCAGAGAUAGGGACACUCAAUCAAACAAACAAAUACACAAACUCUGCUCAAGCUAGAUUUGCAUACGAAGCUGUAGUCAGCACCAAGUCUUCAUCAUUUUCAGGAUCAACCUUCAACAGAAGUCAUUGUAAAAGCUCUGCUACCUUGUCUGAAUCUCGCUGUAGUAUCGAUUCCCUCCUAUAAACUCAUCUCCCAAUCUCCCUUUCUAGCACUCAAACCCUAUGUAAAUCAGAAAGAGAGGAAGUUGCAAGACAAUCAGCCUUACCCGACAAGGUGAAACCUUGCCAACCCUCUUUGUCCUGUCUUUCCAUUCAUAAAACUCAUAAUAUAAUGUAUACUUCCAUCUGUAUCCAAGUUAUUUCUAGCAAGUUUAUGAUUAAAAGACUUCUUGGUUCUUGGAUCUGGCCGGUUUAAUGGUGCCCAAUCAUGCUUGACUAGAUAUAAGUUCUAACCUUUCAGGCAUAUAAGAUUGAUCAACCAAAAGUCCUUGGUCUUAAGGCAUAAAAAAAAAAGAACUUUAUGUGGUUAACCCAUCCAUGACAAUCCUUGAUAACAAGAAGUCCGAAGUUACUUGGGGCGCAAGUAAUCAGCCGAUUUCUUAGUUUUACUCUUGUUAUAUUAUGAUGCCAUAGAACGCUUGAGUAUAGAAUUAAUUCUGAUAGGAAGCCUCAAGGCUUAUAUUUAAGGCCCUACCAAGGCACCUAUCUGGGUUUGUUCUGCUCUGCAGGCUCGGGUGAUUAAAGUAUAACAGUUGUAAAACUUCUGCAACAAUGAAACAACCACUAUAUGUUCAAGUACUAGGUUAGUUUUGAUUGUGAGCCUCAAGACCUACACCUAAGGCCCUACAAAGGCACCUUUCAUAGCUAACUUGGUCUCUCGGGCAUAUACGAUUAAACUAAACAUCUGUUUUACAUCUGUCAUGCUAAAGAUGGCAGUGGCACGCCUGAAUACCUAAAGUUAAUUUUGAUUGUGAGCCUCAAGGCCUACAUCUAAGGCCCCCACAAAGGCACUUUUCAGGAUUUACUCUGUCCUUCUCUUACAGCCCGCCAAUAAGUAGAAGCCCGACAAACAAUAUCAACUUGUGCCAACCUCUCAGGGAGCUGUGUGCUCGUUGACCAGGAAACCUCCCCAUCAGAAAUUCCUCGAGACGAACACAACGUUAGCAAUUCAGCAUACAAAGUUGGAAAAGAUUUUUUUAAAUUGUAAAGGUUGUUUUUAUGUUGUCAUUGUGCACUCCCAAGUCAUGUGUUUGUCUGCAUUUUUAAAUCAAACAUUGCCUUUGUGCCUGUUGAUCGAUAUUUCUACGUAGUUCCAUUUGUGUGUGUGUAUGUGUGUUUAGAGACAAAAAUUUAAAACUAAUGAGUGAAGUCAGAUACCCAAUUUGUUCUCCCUAGAAGUGGGCAAACGGGUAGAGAAACCGCGGCCCUGGAAAGGCCGAUAUCAUUAAUUUGUGGGGCAGGCCAAGUCCAGAUACAUAGAAAAACGGGUACCCAGACUAAUCCGUUUCUAAUUAUAAUGAACGGCUGAGAUUGAAUGAUAACCUAUCAUCCAAUCUCAACCGUUAGUUUCUACCCUCGUUUCUACCCGAGUCCAAGGUCCCAGAAUCACUCUUUCAGCUGCCUCGCUCCGCUCUUUCCCUCUCCUCCAUCUCUCCUUUCUUGCCCUAACUGAUAGGGUUUCCAUGUCCGUAUAGCUCCAACCUCUCAUGCAUCAGUGCCUUCAACCUUUACUGAUCGUUGUUGCAGCCUUAAUCAUUUCUGGGUCUCUCUCUUUCGAGGGUUUUUUGGCAGAAAGCUUUGCACUUUCAGCCUCCCGGAGGUUUUUGAGUUGCACCCAUGUCAAAGCUACUUGGUUUCUCCGGUAAGUCUUGAGAUUUUUCAUGUUUUUUUUGUUGAAUUUAUUGUUUUUGGGCUUAAAUAGUUGUCCGCUUGUUUGGAAUUUGUGAUUUGAAUGAUGUUUAGCUGUUAAAUUUGUACAUCAGAGAUGAAAUAUUUGGAAUUUUGAUGAGCUAGCUUGGUGAUCUGUUGGGUUUUGUUGUUUUAGUGAAUUUUGAUGAUUUUAGUUUCAUUUUUUGAAUAAUAUUUUGGAUUUAGAAUAAUAAUUUAGGGUGCUUAGAUGAAAUAGUUUUGGAUUUGAAACCCUAAGAUCUGAUCAGCCUUUUGGUUCAUGUAUUCAAUUUUGGGGUUAUUGUAUUUGUUUUCAUUUUUGGGUGAAUUAAUUGCUUUCUGAAAUUACAACAACAACAACAACAACAACAAAGCCUUUUCCCACUAAGUGGGGUCGGCUAUAUGAAUCCUAGAACGCCAUUGCGCUCGGUUUUGUGUCAUGUCAUCCGUUAGAUCCAUGUUUGCAUGUUGACAACUCAGAGUUGGGGUUAUUGUAUGCAGAGACAUCCCAACUUUUGUCUGGGUUCAACUUUGUUGAAGGGGAGCAUACUGCUUUUUGAAGGGGUUUGGGUUCUUGGCUUAUGAUUUGGUUUCGUAUUGCUUGAUGAUUGUUUAACGUGCAGAUUUUUUUAGCUUGGAUUCUUUCGUAUGUCUACAUUAUGGAACCAUCCUCACAUUCGGUUUGCUAUUCAUCUGUUAUCCUUCACUGUUUUCAUUGAAAGUUUGUCUUUGGUUUACGCUUCUUUGCUUCAUUGUCUUCUGGCACUGGUUUUACGCAUCUUGGCUUGGUUUAUGUACAAAUACUGCAGCCAGAUGUACGAAUGAUGGGAUUCACUACUAUUUGACAGAUGCUGAAGUUUGUUUGGCGACUUUAAAAUUAAGGAAUUUUCCUUGGAUAAGAUCCGACAUUUUCAUUUCAGAUGCAGUUGUCUUUAAACACAGUUACAAAGGAGGGCACUAUGUGGUUUGAUCUCAAGAGGGAGUAUGAUGCUUCUUUUGUUGUGAUUAGUUUUUUCUUUAAAGCGCUGUUAGAUGUGAUUCUAAAUGUAUGCAGUGAAUGGUGGAUCCUUAUUUCAUUGGAUCCUAGAGGAGUAUGGGUUGCUUCUAAAAUGGAGCCUUAUUUCAUGUAAUGUAUAAUGUUAGCACAAGAAUUGUGCUACAAAGAGGAGGUGGCGGAGAGUUCAUAAAAAGUCUCACUUUUAAGAGAAUGUCUUUAGCAUUUCGCUUGAUUUGAAUGUUUGGUUUAGAUGGAUUGCACAGUUUGACAAUGCAAGUAUUUAAUUUAUUGAAAAACAUAAGUUUGACAACGUAACAUUAUGCGUGGGGAAACGAGUUAAACAUAGUGAUCAGUAGCCAUGGCCUUUAUAUUCUAUGAGAAUUCACGCACCUGGGAUGCUGUGUGGAAAACAUUUAAGAUUACUCCUCCAUUGGCCUGGGCAGAUUGGACCCAGUUCAUCAACACCAUAUACUCGAAGCUCAAAUCCAUACAUGAGCGCCUUGUGUAUGUUUUCAUAAGAGGUGUUGUAGUCUUUGACGUAGCUCGAGAGCGCCCAAGUCAUCCACUCUGCACUGCAACCCUCAUCCAAAUCCCCUACUUCCAUCAAACCGACCUUGACGUAGCUAUACGUUUUUGGUUGGCUCGAAGAAGAAGCACUUGCAUCGAAGCAUGGAGCAGUGUCCACAUACAGAGAAGAAUUCAUUGGAUUCGAACACUUCAUGUAAAAUACAACUGUUGAAAGCGGUGAAUCACUUGGAUAUUUACCAUACAAAUCAUAUGGUAAAUUCAAUGUAUCAGACUCAAGCGGAAAGUUUCUCGACAUGGAGGAGCAAUUGUCGUUCUCACAAGACAGCGUAUACGGAACGUGGCUGCAGUGCUUUGGACUAUCUUGUAGUCGAAAAGGGUAGCUUAUGUUGUGAAUAUUGCCGCAGGAGAAGGUACAGUUUGUACUAUCAUCCUUUGCUCUACAAGUUUCACCGGAUAAGCCAAUGACAAGAAAAGCCAUAAUCAAUAGCCAAGCAGACCAAGUGAAGGACCUGCUUCCCCUUAUUCCCAUGGAGAGAGAGAGAGAGAGAGAGAGAGAGAGAGAGAGAGAGAGAGAGAGAGAGAGAGAGAGAGAGAGAGAGAGAGAGGAUUUGAUAAUCAAACUAGCUUCCCUGAAUUUUCAAAUUUCAUAUUGAAUGACAUAUAAAAAAUAUCCAAAAUAGAAGUCACUAGAAAAUCAACAAAAUCACAUAAUUUCAAAAAAUGAAAAGGAUUAUCCAUCAAACAAGUUCCCUGAAAAUGCAUUGCAAUGGGGUGUUAUGGGUUCUAUGGUGGUGGCGUGGAGAAAAGAAGGGGAAUAAGAACCUCUGUAGCCCAAGUCAGCAUCUUUUUUAAUAGUUUUUAAGUGACUUAGCAAUGAUGUGGCAGACAUACAAGUAGGUAAGUCGACCCCACUAACGUCAUGUCAGAGUACUAACAAAAUUAUUUACAUAAAAGUUGUACCCAGUGCACAAGGCUCAAAUGAAUAUGAAAGUUGAAUUCUAAGGGAUUAGGUGGUGAAAUUUAAGUUUUACAUAGCAAAAGUGAGAUUGAAAUAGAGUUCCAAAAAUACAAUCUGAAAAAAGUUUCCGUCAAUACAGUAAGAACAAAGCGCGCACACGUACAUUUUAAAUCACUUAUUUCCAACAACAACAAAAUAAUAUAAUUCACUUAUUGUAGUCGUCACACUUGCGUACAGUAGAAAGGACUGUUGAGAAACUAUGACUUGUGAAAAACUGCAGAGGUAGCAGGCAGUUGAUAUGUACUCGAAUCUCUCAGCCGGGGUGUGUUUUCAGGUACUUGCAUACGGCAUCACAUGGACAGGGAUCGGAAAAGGCUGCAUACCACGUCUGCAUACCGCUCAAGCCAAGUCCUAGUAGAACGCCAAUGAAACCCAAGAAAGUCCAGGGACUAUUGAAAUGGUCAUGAAAGAAUUGAGCCAUCCAUGUCUUCCACUUGGUUUUGUAGUGAUAUUCUAUCUGUGCUGUAACAUUUCGGUAAAUCGCAUCGUUAGGGACCAAGUCAGUGCUUAUCUCGUUGAAGAGUUCAGCCACCUCCUGAUCACUCCCAAGCAAGUUUUGAACUAUGCCCUUUUUCCUCAAGUGCUUCACAUCGUCUGCAUGAUCAAUGAGCGAAUCGAGGAAGCCUAUGUAAGAGGUGACCACAAAAUCGUUCUGGAAAUCAGGACACAUUUCGUAGGCUAUGAUGUUCAUGAACUUAGGCCCCAUCGAGUCGUCAACUUUUAUUAUGGGAAGAUAAAGGAAUCCACAGCAUAGAAACAGAGGCUUAAAAUAUAUGUCCAUCAAUGAGUUUUUCUCACUAGGCCUAAAAUGGAUACCGGCUGCCUGAAGCUCUUGUACGUUGCGAAAAGAAUGAAGCAAGGCGCUAGGUCGAGGUCCUACCAUUGUCUGAAGAAGGUCAAGAAGACGAUGAGUACAUCCUGGUUUUGUACUCUGGCUAGGUCGAGGUCCUACCAUUGGCCGAAGGUCAAGAAUAUGAUGAGUACAUCCUGGUUCUGUACUCAGGCUAGGUGGACGUCCUACCAUUCUUGUCCGAAGAAGGUCAAGAAGAUGAGUUGGCUUUCUUUCCACGGCAGGGCCUUGAACUACUGGUGCUCCACCAUGCAUCUUGACAAAUUCCUCGAUUGAGGCUUCCAAGUCCACACGUUUGUUGCUUGAGCUGAUCAGCAACUCGAGGAGUUGAUAGGGGAGUUGGUUUUCUAGCAGGAACAUGUCCUGUUCUACAAAUGCCACUUGGUCUCUCUUGAUCUUAAAAGCUUCCAACUCCUUAUAUUUGUACAUGAAUUCCAACGUCGAACACCCAUCAACGAACAGCAUCCACGCGAGGGCCUCAUCAUCGUGGUCCUUUGUUGCUUCGUCAUCAUAGCACUCCCUUAGCUCCUUAAUCUUGUCCUCAACGUUCUUGAGCAACGUUUCAUCGUUAUUAGUCUGCUCACUAUCUUUGAUAAAGUGUUCUGUCAAUUGAAGCUUGACUUUCUCUGCCUGCUUGUACUUUUCUUUACCAUGGUGGCGAGGACCGAGUGCUACCACCCUUGGCUCGUAGUACUUGUCUAAAUUUUUGUGAUCACGGAGCAUGAAGGGAACCCUUUGGAUCUUUGGUUCGGCAUUUUGCUUUUGAGCUGCUUCUGCCAAUGCAUCCCUCAUUUUCUUUAGUUUCUCCCCCCUACUGGUUCUUAUUACCUCCUCAUGGAUUGUAAUCGCCUCCUCUGAAGUUUGCUCCGUGGUGGUGAUUUCUGCAGGUUGGCCUUGGUCUCCUCCGCUUGCUUGUCCACCUCCUCUUUUCGCAACUUUCGUCAUGGACAGCUCCUUCUUCAUGGAAACUACAUUUUCAUCUUUUUGGGACAUUAUUAAAGUGCUUGUCGAAACUAAUUAACAAGGGAAUUCAAUGUGGUUUUAAGUGUUUUGGCCCUAGCGAGCUGUGUCAUGCUAUACAAUAUUUCUAGUUUGCAUGCAUUAUAUAAUACGUAUAAUAUGGCACAGCAGUGCAUCACUUUAGCUCCAAGAAAAUAGAAGCUUGAUGAUGAAGAAGAGAUGUUAAUUUGUUAAAGGACAGUAAUAGAUGCAUGACUUUAUCUGCAUGGAAGCAUGACUUUAUCUGCAUGGAAAGGUUGGUAUAUAUGUGGUACACGAUUUAUGUGGUAGAAGCUGUCGUCUCUAUCAAGGAAAAUUAAAGGUCAUGUUGUUGCCUGUAGCAUACUUUAUUUAUGGGAAAAUGCUACGAGUACAUUUUUUUUUCAGACCAUAUUUUGUAAUUACAUUAUGUGACGGUUAAUGGUUAGAUUUUUCAUUUAAAUUAUUAAAAAAAAAUUCAACCAUAAACCGGCACAUCAUGUGAUGUACAAAAUAUAAUUUAAAUAAAUAGCCUUUCAAGCAUAGUAUAUCACCCUUAUCUAGGAAACUACAUCUUAGCAUUUACAUAUGUUUGGAACACAUUCUAGUUAAAGUAAGAAAGUAGUACUACCGGUCAUGAUUGCCUUACUGACCUAAAAUAUUAUUCCUGACUUGCUUAUAGUUGGGAGUCUCGGACAAGAAUGAAAAGAAUGAUCUAAAGGCCAUUGUCCUACUUACGACAAGAAUAUCAAAUGUGAUACACAUGACAAGUUUAGUUUCAUGAAGAGCUUGUCCAACAUGCUAAUACAUAGAUUUACGAUUUAAUGAUAUUUUCUUGCACUCGUACCAUCGUACGUGAGGAAAGAUUUUUCAAUGUGACCGGUACACAGGAUGGUACACCACGUGUUACCAUAUAAAUGGUGGAAUAUGUGUGUUAACAAAUUAAUAACUUAAAAAAUAAAAUUUCCCACCACUUAACAUAAAAAUACGUGGUGUACCAUUCGUGUUCCUGUUACAAUGAAAAAUUUCAUGUACGUGAGAGGUUUUGAAUGCAUCACCUUGAACUGCAUUGUAUAUUUAACAGGAAGAAACGGAACUUUUGGUUCCCUAAUAUAUAGAAGAAACAGAAGUAACAUAUAGUUCACAGACAUGUUGCCCUUGUAGCCAAGGUGGUAAAAUACAUAUAUUCUAGGUUAGGUACAUGUUUGAGUAGUUGACAAAAAAGAUAAAGACUGUUUUGUUCUCAUUCUAUAGCAUCUAAGUUUCCAAGCACAAACGUGCAAAGCAAAGAACAUGCAGGUGUUGAAGCAAAAAUGUUGAUAGCUGAAAACAUGUAGAACGGCUUGCAGCAGUCGAUUACGGAGAUUGCAUUGCUCACUUUUUUUUAGAGUGGACAUCUUCCGCACUAUAGCAAAAAAUAUAAAUCAUAGUUUAAGAAACGCUACUAUAAUGUUUGUUAUAUAGGUGUGUGCGUGAAAAAUAAAUUGUAAGUUAGCUAUCUUUGGGUUUUUUGCUUUGAGAUUUUGUUCUAAGUGCAGCUAACGGAACUUUGUCAGCUGGUUCAAUUUUGGGGACAACUAGAUUGUGGAUUUCUCUAGCAAUUCUGGCAAAAUUGGUUGUCUCUGUUUGGUCAUCGUGAGGUCUUUUGCUGUGAGUCAAGGUACAAAUUUAACAGGUUAGAGAUGAAUGUGAGAGUGACAAAAGAGUGUGAAAGAGUGGUGUGAAGCUUUUUCAUGUGUAGGAAAACAUAUUCAUAUACCUAAGAGAAGCAUGGUUUGCAAGAUUUACACAUGAGAUGAUUAAGCAAGAAGUCUACUUUACCUGUCAGAUUUCUCUGUUUGAUCAGGAAACAACUCUCUCUUUGAAGUCUUUGUGGGUGUAGUUGGUUGGGGUUGUUGAUGCAAGGAGGGCGUAAAUGGGCUUUGGGACGCUUCAAUUAAAAUUUGUUUUCCUGCAGUGGUAACAGAUGUUUGCGGUGUGACUAAGGCAAUUGUUGGGUUCGAAUGCAGUUGAUCUUGUAGUAGUCCAUGAAGAUGAAGUCUGUUUUCCCAAAGUCAGUAUUUUGGUUUCCAAAAGAGAGCUGAAAUUGUUUUGUCUCGUUGACCAAAUUUUUUCGAGUUGGCAGAACUAUGAAAGGAUCCUUAUAUCCAUCCUCUAUCACCAAAGUGUGGCAAGAAACACGAAGUAUUUUUUCAGCAUGUUUUCCUAUUAUUGUAAACUAAAAUAGAAAGGAACGAAGUUACCCGAAAAAUGUAGAAGCUUUAAGUGGUGAAUGAUUCUUGGGAUGAGUCACGGACUAAGUCACUCUCUUUAAAACGUUUCGCGGCUCUGCCCAAAGUGUGCAAGCAGUUCACAAACACCACGUCGUCCCCAGGAUAAAACAGCCCAGAACCUUCUUCUAAUAAAAUUCUUCCUUGCACACCGGAAGAACCUUCGAACUAAACCUUUUUGAUAUGUUGCUUUUUAAAUUAAUAUAUUUAAAACUUUUUUUUUCUUCUACUAUUUCUACUCUACGCCUAACUGACAUAUCUUUUUGUAUCCUUAUCUAUAUAUAUAAAGAAAUAGAUGUUAGGGGGGGGUGUAAAACCGUAAGGAUAUAAAGAGAGUUUAUGGGGUGCAAAACGGUCGGUUGCAAUCAAAAGCAAAGCCGUAGGGAAUCAAAUGCAAAACUAUCUGCAAUCAAAGGAGUUAUUAACAUCACAUUAAUUUACUUCUUAAAUUGCUUUAAGAAAUUUCAGUUAUAGACUUUGAAAUGAAAAAAUACGUGGUGCAAACUUUACCAAUUGAUGCAGAUCAAAUCAAAACGUAAUUCAAAUUCAAACAAGAAACAAAACGGUUUGAUUGCAUAACUCCUUAAGCUAAAAUCAAUUGACUUUCAAUAUUGGUAAUAAAGCAAAACGUUGUGUAUAUAAUAUUGGUAGUAAAACAAAACAUAAAUAUAUUUAAAUAUUUAAAUAAAAACAUAUUUGCUCCAACAAUCCCCCACUUGUUUUUAUUUAAAAAAAUAUAUAUCAAGCAACAUAUCAUAAAGCUAUGCAUAAGUAAAGGUGUUUCUCAACUUGAACGUGUACAUAGUGUUAGUGAUCCAGAUUAUACUAGAGUAACUUAUAGUUUUGAACUCUAUCUCUAACAACACCACACACAUAACUUUAUUAAGGUGAAGUUCAAAAAGCCAGCACAUUACGGCCAUAUGCUUGUAUCCCAGUAUAGUGAACGCUCUAGAAACUUGCCCAAGAUUUCAUAGGAAGCGGCCUCACUUCCACAUUCACAUAGGUAAGACUAUCAAGGAUAUUCCUGUAGCUAAAUAUCCCACUCAACAUAGAGUAUAGACCUUAUUAAGAGAAAAAAUCUCAACCUAAAAACGCUUCAGGAUGUCAUGCUUCUUAGGGAUGGACAUGGAAUAAUAUUCCAAAUUAAAAUUAGCAAGACUUCACUCAUAUCACUUGUGCCUUGUUAUUACCCUUUGAACCUAUUUCUUGGGAUCUCUAGCCUAUAGGUUGGGUUGCUAUCACCAAUGACUCAAUUUUCUACGGCCUUUAGUCCUAUCCCUUUCGAGGUUUUCCAAACCUUUUCUCAUGUUAGUCCUUUCGUCAAAAGAUUUUUCCAAACUUUUUCUCAUGUUAGUCCUUUCGUGAAAGGAUCAACUAAAUUUUCUUCAGAUCGUAUAUGACUGGAAUCAUUUUCUCCCAUAAAGGGGUACGUAUCUAACAGUAGGUUUCUCAACCAUCUUGUUUCUUCUCCCAUAAAGAGGUAUCUGAUAGUAGGCUCAUAAUUUUUCGAAGAAUUAGAACCCCCACUAUUUCGAAGAUUAAAAGAAUCAACCGAUUACAAAAAUCACAAGGCACAUUUUCAUAAUUGAUAUCAAAUUAAAUAUAAAACAUAAAUUGUUAUCAAAUUAAAGAACAUGAAAAAUCAGUGAUUAAAAAUUAAAUAAACUCUCUCUUUAAAAACACUAAGCAAUAAAACUACUGAUUUUUCUCAAAUGAAGGUAGCUCUCUGUGCACUUGGGGAUGCUAACAUACUUUUGAGCUCCAAUGAUAUUUCAUGCAGCGAUAGAAAGUAUAAUACAAAUAUCAAUGCAUAAGGCAGCAAAAACCAAAACCCAAAAGCAUGUUAAUUCGAAUACAUGCAGCAGCAGCCAAAACCAAAGUCUAUUCUAAUGCAUGCAACGCAUCAGAGAAACAUAUGACUUGUAAAAAUAAACCUAACGCAUGCAGCAACACUCUUAAACAAACAAUGAAGAAAAUAUGAUUUUAUUUUCUUCCUAAUGCAUGGCAGAUUGAAUACCGUCUUAAAAUUGUUGUAAACUGAAAUAGAAAGGAACGAAGUUACCCGAAAAAUGUAGAAGCCUUAAGUCGUGAAUGAUUCUUGGGAUGAGUUGCGGACUAAGUCGCUCUCUUUAAGACGUUUCGCGGCUCUACCCAAAGUGUGCAAGCAGUUCACAAGCACCAAGUCGUCCUCAGGAUAAACCAACCCAGAACCUUCUUCUGAUAAGAUUCUUCCUUGCACACCGGAAGAACCUUCGAACUAAACCUUUUCGAUAUGUUGCUUUUUAAAUUAAUAUAUUUAAAACUUUUUUUUCUUCUACUAUUUCUACUCUUUGGAAAAAAAAAACGUAUGAUAAGGUCCCAAGAGACAUUCUCUGUAGGAUUUUGGAGAAGAAAUAAGUACGAGUAGCAUAUAUCCAAGCUAUAAAGGAUAUGUAUGAAUGAGCAAAGACUACCGUAAGAACUCAUGAAGGACAAACCGAAAGCUUCCCCAUAACUGUAGGAUUACGUCAAGGCUCAUCCUUAAGUCCUUACUUUUUUACGUUGGUAAUGGAUGAGUUAACAUGACAUAUUCAAGAUGAUAUUCCUUGGUGUAUGCUUUUCGCAGACGAUAUAGUGUUGAUAGAUGAAACUUAGGAAUGGGUAAAUGUGAAGCUUAACCUUUGAAGAUAAGUGUUGGAAUCUAAAGGUCUUCGCCUAAGCCGAUCAAAGACAGAAUAUAUGGAGUGCAAGUUCACUGCAAAUGGAGGCCAAAAUGAGUUAAGGGUGAGGAUCGGAGAUCAGGAAACACCAAAGAGCGACUGCUUUCGCUACCUAGGAUCUAUCUUGUAAAAGAAUGGAGAAUUAGAUGGAGAUCUCAACCAUAGAAUACAAGCUGGAUGGAUGAAGUGGAAGAGUGCAUCCGGCGUGUUGUGUGACCGCCGUAUGCCACUGAAGCUCAAUGGAAAAUUUUAUAGGAUGGCAAUAAGGCCGGCAAUGCUGUAUGGCUCAGAAUGUUGGGCGGUGAAGCAUCAACACGUACACAAAAUGGGUGUAGCGAAGAUGAGGAUGCUUCGUUGGAUGUGUGGGCACACGAGAAAUGAUAAGAUUAGGAAUGAGGAUAUCCGAGGUAAAGUAGGAGUAGCCGAAAUUGUAGAAAAGCUGAGAGAAAAUCGAUUACGGUGGUUUGGACAUGUGCAAAGAAGGCCUACUGACGCUCCGGUUAGAAGAUGCGACUACGGGAUAGAGGUUCAGGGCCGAAGGAGUAAAGGAAGACCUAGGAAAACUUUGGAAUAGACUCUAAGAAAAGACUUAAAGUACUUGGAUCUAACGGAGGACAUGACACAGGACCGAGCACAAUGGCGUUCUAAGAUUCAUAUAGCCGACCCCACUCAGUGACUUGGAUUUUCAAGUCUCCAACCGAGAAGUUUUCCUCACUCGGGAAAUUAAGGGAACACUACCUCAACCUACAUGCUCCACUCACAAAGCUCUCAAGCCAAGCAGAUAUUCAUAUGCAGAUAUUAAGAGGAUUACAAAUCAAUUCAAGUACAAAUUAGGCCAAGGAGCCUACGGAACUAUUUUUAAAGGAAAACUUUCUUCUGAAUGCUUUGUUGCUGUGAAGGUACUUAACAAUUCUAAGCGUGAUGGGGAAGAGUUCAUAAAUGAAGUGGGAGCAAUGGGUCAUAUUCACCACGUCAAUGUGGUUCGCUUGGUUGGUUUUUGUGCAGAUGGAUUUAGACGAGCUCUGGUUUAUGAGUUCUUUUCCAAUGGUUCGCUCCAGGAUUAUAUUUCAUCAGUAGAUAGAAGGAACUCUUUCCUUGGUUGGGACAAGUUGCAAGAUAUUGCUAUCGGCAUAGCCAAAGGAAUAGAAUAUCUUCAUCUGGGAUGCGAACUACGAAUCCUCCAUUUCGAUAUCAAACCCCACAAUAUUUUGCUAAACCAAAACUUCACACCAAAAAUCUCUGAUUUUGGUCUGGCCAAAUUAUGUUCCAAGGAUCAAAGCAUAGUGUCAAUGACUACAGCGAAGGGGAUCAUGGGCUACAUUGCACCAGAAGUAUUUUCCAGGAAUUUUGGAAAUGUGUCUUACAAGGCAAAUGUCUAUAGUUUUGGAAUGCUGCUGCUUGAGAUGAUAGGAGGAAGGAAGAAUGCUGGUUCAACCACAGAGAACACGACCAAUGAAGUUUACUAUCCAUAAUGGAUUUAUAACCUUCUAGAGGAAGGAGAUGACCUACGAAUCCAUAUCGGGGGAGAAGGGGAUGGUAAGAUUCCAAAGCAACUUGCAAUUGUAGGGCUCUGGUGCAUCUAGUGGCACCCAGUGGAUCGUCCUUCCAUGAAAACGGUAGUUCAGAUGCUAGAAGGAGGAGAAAACUUGACAAUGCCUCCUAAUCCUUUUGUUUCUGCAGGUCCUACACAAACAUCACAGGCAUGCAUCCCCAAAAUGCGCCUCCUAGAGUUAGAAGCAAUUGCUAAAUUAGAGUAACAUGUAGAUGUAUACCACCAACUAGUAGUUCAUAGAUGAAUUCAAGCGCAAACAUUUGUUAGUCUAUAAGCCAUGAGCUGAUUACAUUAGUAAUAAUGUCUUGUAUUUACUUGUGUAUUCACUUGAGUUAUAAAUUACCAAGUGUAGGGCUCAUAUUGCAAUUGUCUAGUGUAUUCGUCGACAUGAUUCCCAGUAGCAAAUAAGCAAACCAAAACCAUUUGUCUAGUGCAAGAACGCAUCUACAACUACAAGAAGCAAUUUGGUAGAGAUCUGAUCCUAUUUGCGUUUUUCACAUGUUUACAUAAAAAAGUUUCAUUCAUAAAUAUGGAAAUUAAUCAUCAGUGAAAAAAGGCAGCACAGACACGAUAUGAGCAAAAAAUGACACACAUUCAGACAGACUAAAUGGAAUUCAAAUUUAUCCAUCAGUGUCUAAAAGAGCUUGCCAUGAAGAACACCAAUAAUCUAAGCAAAGCGAUUCACGCAAAAGUUAUGUACAAUAUCAUUAUUCAUGAUUACUAGACAAAGGAAAUGUUUAUCAAUAUCAGUCCUCACUCUGCAAAAGAGAUACGAGACAGUAUAUAGAGUUAAAUGUAACCCGAUUGUGGUUGCUGUUAGGAAUGUCGGUACUACAAGAUAGAGAAUGCACAAGGUAAAGUAGAAAAUGGACGCCAAGAAUUUAUGUGGUUCGGCAAUUUAUGCCUACGUCCACCAAACAAGGAUCAAUCUUCACUAUAUGAAAAAGAUGAAUACAACAAGAGUAGUCUUACCAAGCCAAAGACAAGGCUUGAUGGAUACAAGAAAGUAUAACACACACUUUCUAUCACUCUAAACUUCACUCACACAAUGUGUAGUGGAACACUCUCACUCUCACUCUUGGAGUGGAACUCUAGCUUUGGACUUGAUCCUUUGCUACUCACUCUUCUCUUGAUUUGUUGUUGGUUCACUACAACAUCACACCCAUAUUUAUAGGUGAGGGUUUGGCAUUCUACUAGUUUCUAGUGUAUUCUUCAAACCUCUAGCAUAGAAAGAUCUAGACUAGCCACAAAAGUGUGGCUUCUAGAUCUUUCCAUUUGCAACCAAGGAAGCUAGUACUCUCUAGCUUCUUCCAUCAACUUAAUAACAUGCUAGAAUUGUCUAGCAUGCUCCAGCCAUCUCUCUUGCUUACUAGAAUAAUCUAGAACAUUGAUCAUGGGCUGGACCAUAUACCAACAAUCUCCCCCUCCAGUCCAUGAGGGAGGAAUUCCGAUCAUGACUCCAAGUUACCUGGAGUCCAUCCCAGCAGCCUUAAUGCAGAAUUCCAACUUUGAUUUUGUGACCACCUUUGUCAACAUGUCUGAAGAAUUAUUAUCGGUAUGAAUCUUCUUCAGCUGUAGCAUCUUGUUCUCGAUAACAUCUCUAAUCCAGUGAUAACGAAUAUCAAUGUGCUUGGUGCGUGAAUGGUAUGCAGUGUUCUUGCUCAAAUCCAGAGCACUCUGACUAUCACAAUAAACGCCAUAAUCACUUUGCUUCAAACCCAACUCUUGGAGAAACCGCUUCAGCCACAACAACUCCUUGCAUGCUUCUGUAGCAGCUAUGUAUUCAGCCUCGGUUGUAGACAAAGCAACACACUUUUGCAACUUGGAUUGCCAAGACACGGCUCCCCCUGCAAAAGUAAACAAGUACCCAGACGUAGAUUUUCUACCAUCCAGGUCACCUCCCAUGUCAGCAUCUGUAAAUCCUUCCAAGAUUGGUUUGGAACCGCCAAAGCACAAGCACAUCUUAGAAGUCCCCUUCAAAUAUCUGAGAAUCCACUUAACAGCUUCCCAAUGGUCUUUCCCUGGAUUAGAGAGAAACCUGCUCACCACACCUACUGCAUGAGCAAUAUCUGGCCGUGUGCACACCAUUGCAUACAUGAUACUUCCUACUGCUGAAGAGUAGGGAACAACUGCCAUUUUCUCCUUUUCUUCAUAUGUUUUUGGACACGACUCUUUGCUCAACUUGAUAUGAUUGGCUAAAGGUGAGCUUACCGAUUUGGCUGCUUUCAUGUUGAACCUUUCAAGCACCCGUUCAACAUACUUUUCUUGUGACAGCCACAACUUCUUGGAUUUUCUGUCACGAAUUAUCUCCAUGCCCAAAAUCUGCUUGGCUGGCCCUAAGUCCUUCAUGUCAAAGGACUUAGAUAACUCUUCUUUGAGCUUUUUAAUCAUAAAAGCAUCUUGACCGACAAUCAACAUGUCAUCAACAUAAAGCAACAAAAUGAUGAAUUUACCUCCAGAAAAUUGUUUGAUAUAGACACAAGAGUCAGCAUGAGUUCUCUUGUACCCAUUACUCACCAUGAAUAAGUUGAACUUCUUAUUCCACUGUCUCGGAGCCUGCUUAAGACCAUAUAAGCUUUUCUUGAGCUUGCACACCACCAAAGUUUCUUUACCCUUGACUUCAAAGCCUUUGGGUUGCUCCAUAUAUAUCUCCUCUUCUAAGUUACCGUGGAGAAAUGCAGUUUUUAACGUCUAACUGCUCGAGCUCAAGAUCCAUGCUUGCUGCCAUACCAAGGAUAACUCGAAUGGAAGUCAUCUUCACCACCGGUGAGAAAAUCUCAUCAAAGUCAACUCCUUUCUUUUGACCAAAACCUUUGACAACCAAACGAGCCUUGUACCUUGUCAUGUUGUCGUCAUUUUUUCAAUUUGAACACCCACUUGUUUUUUCAAUGCUUUUCUGCCCUUUGGAAGCUCCACCAGCUCAUAGGUAUUAUUCUUUAAUAAGGAAUCCAUCUCUGACUCCAUUGCCUUCAUCCAUUUAUCACUGUCGUUAUGAGCUCUGGCCUCCUCAUAAGUUUCGGGCUCUCCAUAAUUAGUCAACAUGAUAUACUCUGAUGAAGAAUACUUGGUAGACGGUCUUCGACUUCUGCUGGAUCUUCUGACCUGAUCUUCAUUCUCUUGCGGGGCUAGAGUCUCCCCCUGAUUGGAUUCUCCUUGAAUCUGCUCUUCUUGACUAGGCUCCCCCUGAUCAGCAAUCUCAUGGUCUGGCACAUCUUGAUCAGGCUCCUCUUGAUCAGCAUUAUCUGAUUCUGCAGGCACUUCAUUGGCAGUUGCUUCAGGGAUGUCAUCGUGACUUUCUUCAUCUGAAGCUAAUGGAUCAACUCCUCUGACUGCGCCAUCUGGUUGUGCCUCUUUAUCCGAAUCCCCAAUUGUUUGAUCUUCAUAAAAGACCACGUCUCUACUUCGGAUAAACUUCUUCUGGUAUGGGUCCCAUAAUCUGUAACCAAAAUCUUCACCGCCAUAACCAAGAAAGAUGCACGGUGUAGCUUUGUAGUCUAACUUCGAUCUCUGCUCUUUGGGCACAUGCACAAAAGCUUUGCAACCAAACACCUUCAGAUGAGAGUAAGACACAUCAUUACCAGUCCAUACUCUCUCUGGAACAUCAAGACCUAAUGGUACUGAUGGAGAUCGGUUAAUCAAAUAGCAGGCUGUCCUUACAGCUUCACCCCAGAACUGCUUAGAUAACUUUGCAGUCCUCAGCAUACACCUGACUUUCUCCAUGAUGGUUCGGUUCAUUCUUUCAGCAACACCAUUAUGUUGUGGAGUUCCAGGAACUGUCUUCUCAUGACGUAUGCCAUGUUUCACACAAUACUCUCUAAACUGGUGAGAUGUGUACUCGCCGCCGUUGUCGCUACGAAGGCACUUAAGAGGUUUCCCAAUUUCCCUCUCCACCAUGGCAUGGAACUCCUGGAAUGUCUGAAACACCUGGUCUUUGGAUUUCAACAAAUACACCCAAACCUUUCGUGAAGCAUCAUCAAUAUAUGUAACAAAAUAUUUAUUUCUUCCGAGUGACUCGACUUCCAUGGGACCACACACAUCUGAAUAAACAAGAUCUAACAAAUUUCCUUUCCUUGUAGAUGGAAUCGAAAAACUAAUUCUUCUUUGUUUUCCUAAUAAACAGUGCUCACAAGAGUUUAACGACGUACCUUUGGCAAAGGGAAUGUGAGACUUCUUUGCCAAAACCUGUAGGCCUUUCUCGCUCAUGUGACCUAGCCUCUUAUGCCACAAGUCUAGAGAUGAGUCCUCCACAGCAUUCAACUCACCUUUCAAAACCUUGGCAUUUGACCGGUACAACGUACAACAAAGUCGUGCUCUUGCUACCACCAUUAAGCCUUUAGUAAGCUUCAAUUUUCCUUCGCCAAUAUGGUGAUAAUAUCCUUGUCGAUCAAGGGUACCGAUGGAUAUCAGAUUGAGACGUAUAUCAGGAAUAUGUCUCACAUCUUUCAACAUCAAUUGGCAGCCGAGAUUAGUUCUUAGACGUAUAUCACCAAUUCUAAGAAUUUUGGAAUAGCUUUCAUUCCCCAUCUUCACUAUGCCAAAGUCACCUUCUUUGUAUGUACUGAAGAACUCCCGUUUAGACGUAGCAUGGAGGAAGCUCCAUUGUCAAAGAUCCAUUCAAUGUCUCUGUCAGAGUUGCCCAUAUGCAGACAUUCACCAACAGACAAUAUUUCUGGUACAUCACCACAUAUGACAGCAGUGGUAUUGCCAGUAUCAUCUUUCUUCUGAUUGUUUCCUUCCCUUUGCUCUCUCUUCCAAACUCGACAAUUUUUCUUCAUAUGGCCUUCUUUGCCACAAUGGUGGCAUGCACCCCUGAACCUUGACUUGGAUCGGCUAGGACUCCUGCCAUGACCUCUAGGUCCUCUACUCUUGCUUCUUCCGCGGUUCUCUGUGACAAAUACUUGGCUGCUAUCUGUGCCAGAAGUCUUUCUCCUUGUUUCUUCAUUGAGCAUGCUAUUUUUAACAUUAUCAAGGGUAAGAACACCAUUAGAAGCAGAGUUACUUAUACUCACCACAAAGGUCUCCCACUCCAACCUCCCAACUGUCUGGCAAGGAUCCAAGUAACAAGAGCGCUUGUAGCUCGUCCUCGAUCGUCAUUUUCAUAGUAGCCAACUGGUUGAUGAUAUUCUGGAAAUUGUUCAAGUGUUCUGCUACACUUAAACCAUCCUUGUACUUCACAUUGAUGAGCUCUUUGAUCAAGAAGGCUUUCUUAGCUGGAGUUUUCUUCUCGAACAAGGACUCAAGCUUUGUCCAAAACUCGCGAGCAUUGGUUUCAUUAGACACAUGGUGAAAAACACUAUCGUCCACCCAUUGUCUAAUUGUGCCAAUAGCCUUGCGAUUCAUCUUCUUCCACUCGGCAUCGGACAUGCUCUCUGGCUUAGCGGCAUCUCCUUCAAUUGGCUCAUGCAGAUCCUUGCAAUAGAGAAUGUCCUCCAUCCUUGGCUUCCAUGUUACCCAAUUGGAGUUGGUGAGUUUGAUCAUAGUGCCACUUCCUUCCAUCUCGCAGUACGAGCCAACCGGGCUCUGAUACCACUUGUUAGGAAUGUCGGUACUACAAGAUAGAGAAUGCACAAGGUAAAGUAGAAAAUGGACGCCAAGAAUUUAUGUGGUUCGGCAAUUUAUGCCUACGUCCACCAAACAAGGAUCAAUCUUCACUAUAUGAAAAAGAUGAAUACAACAAGAGUAGUCUUACCAAGCCAAAGACAAGGCUUGAUGGAUACAAGAAAGUAUAACACACACUUUCUAUCACUCUAAACUUCACUCACACAAUGUGUAGUGGAACACUCUCACUCUCACUCUUGGAGUGGAACUCUAGCUUUGGACUUGAUCCUUUGCUACUCACUCUUCUCUUGAUUUGUUGUUGGUUCACUACAACAUCACACCCAUAUUUAUAGGUGAGGGUUUGGCAUUCUACUAGUUUCUAGUGUAUUCUUCAAACCUCUAGCAUAGAAAGAUCUAGACUAGCCACAAAAGUGUGGCUUCUAGAUCUUUCCAUUUGCAACCAAGGAAGCUAGUACUCUCUAGCUUCUUCCAUCAACUUAAUAACAUGCUAGAAUUGUCUAGCAUGCUCCAGCCAUCUCUCUUGCUUACUAGAAUAAUCUAGAACAUUGAUCAUGGGCUGGACCAUAUACCAACAGUUGCGGGUUACGUUCUUACGAAUAUAGUUUGGUUGUAGAGUUCAUACCGCAUGUAGAAGCAUGACUCCUUAAAUUGAUCAGUUGUUUUCAACAUAUCGGGUUAAACGUAACCUACCUUUCCCUUGCUGUUUUUUGUUUGCUUAUCUCGUAUUUUAUUUUACUUUUUUACUGGUGUGACGAAAUGUAUGUCAAAACAAGAAGAAAUCAUACUAUUCUAUUUCUGUAAAAAUACCCAAAUGUCAAUGAAAUCAAUUACAACCGAAGACUCAUAUAUAACCAAAACAUUGCUUUUAUACUAAAGAAUAUUUGUGUCGAUUGAGAUGGCUUUUUGCCUACCUAUGACAUUUUUUUAUAUAUAAAAACUGAUACUAUUAAAAUUACGGGUCGAUUUUUUGCCAUAUUUGAUAAAGACUUGUGUACAUGUGCCAUGAACAUCUUUGUCAUACGUUGGGAGUCACCGAAUAUGCGGAACCAAUUAGGAAACGUUUAAUUAGGAAGAUAUAGAGGUCCCUUAAUUAAAUCUGAAGUAUUGAGCAGCUCAUGUGCAAGAAAAGUUUGGGUUUUCCAUGUGCAGGAGGUGGAAUUUGCCCAUGUGUCACGUCAUUGCAACGAGUAGCCUUAAUAAACAGAAAUUUUGUUCCUACUUAGUGCUUGUAAUUCUACGGACGUUUGCUUCACCAGAAUUCAACGAUCAAAUUAGAAUUCUAGCACCGAAAAACUUAACUUCUGGCAAAUUUUUAUGUGGUUCUCUCAGUAAAAAGGUUUAGAAAUGUAGAAGAAGAAUUAGAUAUUUUCUGUGUUCUAAAUAUCAUGCAGAUGGAUUAAUAUAUAAUAUGAUUAUGCAUGUUCACAACAGGUAUGAGUAGGUGUGGUUCGGUAUGGGAUACCAUACCGAAACUAGUAUCCCGAAUCCCAAACCGAAAUUUUUCGGGAAGGGAAUUUAAAGACCAAUCCCAAACCAAAUUUUCGGGAUUUCGGAACAAAUCGGGAAUCCCAAAUUGAAAUAUGAAAUUAUGAAUUGUUUUUCAAAUAUAUAAUUCAAGAACACAUUCAUACUAGGAAUGUCAUUUCAUUCACACUACCAUUUAAUCUAAAACUGGCAUGCCUGAUUGUUUUUAUCAGAGUCAAAAUUCAAAUUAAUUAAACAUUUUUUGCAAUCUGUUGAGAGACAAAAGAAUCAAACUUUCUAAAAUCAUUAGCCAUGGCAACAACAAUAAUAAAUCUAAAUGAAUAUUAAACAGAACAUGAAAACUAUGCAAGGUGUAGGGCAUUCCAGGUUGCAUAGCAUCCCGAAAAUUUCAGGAAUUUUGGUUUGGAAAAUUUUUGGUUUGGGAUCGGGAUUUUUUCGGUUCGGUUCGGGAUUUUCGGGAAUUUUUUCCACCCCUAAGUACGAGGAAGGGAUGCAUCUGUUGGGAGACAUCUUCUCAUGGGUGUUUUCUUUCUGCGUUCUUUCACACUUCAAACUUCAUCUAAAAGGAUGAGUGUUGAUAAAAUAAAAAAUUAAUUAAUUAAAUCCGAAAAUAAUUAAUUAAAGUAUUUAAUUAUUAGAGUCCGAAGAUCCAUCUUUUGAUAAUUAAUUAUAUAUUAAUUAGCACAUCCCAAAGCUCAACCCCAAGGGUAAGCCCAAUUUUAUUUUCCAAGGUUCAUUGCUCCAAUCACUUUCUAUAAGGGACAAAACCUUACAAACUAAACAAAUCCAAAGCCACGUGGCUCCCUGCACCAUAUAAUAGCAUUAAGUAUAACAAGAAAAUAAGCUACACAAGAAGGAAACCCAUAUAAUUGCAUUAACUAUACUAAUGUUACCGAAACUACAUCUUGUAUUCUGGAAAAUUCAUACAUGGUCGAAGCUCUAGUCAGCAUGAUAGGCACAAAUAAUUGCCACACACUUUAUACAAUUCAAGUGAAAACAUCAAUGGCUGCUAACCUUGUUGGAGUCAAAGAUAAAUUGAGUUGAAAUUCUUCAACACUUCAACUUCUUCUCAAUGUUUUCAACCCAACUUUCUUCAAAAUCUUCGUGUACACUAAGAACAACUUUCUUCAAAAUCUUCGUGUAUACUAAAACCAUCUUCAACAAUUACUUACUUCAUUGAUCUCUUGAAUAAACACUCUUGUUACUUCAUUCUUGUCUUCAACACAGUACUCUUAUUACUUCAUGGGUGUCUUCAACACUUUCAAUAAAACAACCAAAUUCCAAUAAAGCAGUUGAAGAUAACUAAAUAAAAAACAAACAAAAACAAGUGCACUUCAACAAACACUCAGGAUCAAAACCAAAACAACCGACAAAAUUCACACGCGUGGAACUUCUAGCUCAAAUCAAGAACAAUACAACCUCAAACAUUCCUUACAAAUCUUUAAUAACAAAAACCCAUAGUUUUACACCUUGAAAUUUGAAUACUUGUUUGGUAGGACUGUUUUCAAAAACUGGAUCCAAAACUAACUCAAAAUUGGCCUACUUCUUGAAAACACAAAAUUGAACUUUUAGGGUUUUUGAACUCAAAGCCAACUGCUUUCUCUCUCCUCUCCCCUCACUCCGGAUCUUCUCUGCUAGCUCUAUUUCUAUCUUCUCUGUGUCCUCCCCUCAGUUCUUCUCUCUCCUCCAAUGCUCUCUCUCAUAUGUCAGCUACCCUAUCCUCCGACCCCUCUAUUUGGAUCCAUCUGUCCGUCCGAUUGAACCUACAAGUUCCCGACUCCACCGGGGUGCUGUAGGGUUUUUUUCUUUUCUUUUUUUAUUGUUGAGAUUUGAAAACAACUUUGAAUCUCAUACCAAACAAGUUCUCAAGACAUGUUUUGAGAAAUGAUGAAAACUUCUAACAACCUAAAAAAUAAACACCUAAAUCCACAAUCUUAAUCUAUCAGUCAUAAAUUUUAAGAAUUUACAAUUAUUUUCCGCCAAUCCAUAUCUUUCAAGAAACAAAAUUAAUUUUUCUCAAAACAAAAAAGAAACAAAAUUAAUUACACAAAAGUUAUGAAAUACUUAAUAAUUACAACUUAAUAAAGAAUUAGAUAAAAAUACCUGCAGUCAUGGCGAAGAUUGCGGACCAAGAGACUGGUGGGAAGAUCCCUACCACGACCUCCAUAGCGACCUCUCGGGCUAGGGCUACGGCGUCGCCUGCCGUAACCCCUCGGCGGCAAAGGGCCGUAACUAUAGAUCCUACCCCUCAUUUUCUUUCACCUGCAAUAAUCCCCACCACGAAUUACAAACCGAAAUUGAAAUCGAAAACCCUAAUUUCACUGUAACAAAUCACAAGACCAGCACAUAAUUAUUUAUGUAAUACAUCGCUCUUUUGGGUCGAAUACUUACCCGCAAUCUCUCUGAUUUGGUAGAUGUCGGGUCCUAGGGUUUUAAGCUUUGGAGACCCGUCUAACCGGGUCGGAUUUUGACGACUGGCUUUUUCUGAAACGAAUAGUAGCAGCCCGGGUAAAAAGAUUGGAGAAAUGCUAGUAACACUCGCCUAAAAAGCAAGUCCUCAAGACUCUCCCUCCAGCAUCUCCACGUGUAUUUCCACUUCCUCGGUUAAGCUUUAUAUUAGUUCCAUAAUGUUUUUUUUAAUAGUAUUAUACCCACCCCUGUUGUGCUAGGAUAGCACUAAACCACGCGGAACCAAAUUAAGCUAACCCACAGAAAAUAUAUCAAAUGAAAUGCAAGAACAAUAUAGAGAAAAUAUCACCAAGAUUUUAACGAGGUUCCUCUACAGUCAGUAUAACUGGAGUACGUCCUCGGAGCAAUAGGAGCUCACCCAAUAAUCCACUAUCAACCAAAUGGGAGUUUACAAAGUGUUGACAAUCUCACAACCCAUAAACCCAAUACACCCAAUAACUCUCACACACCAAAGAAACAAAUAGAGAAAGAAAUAUAAUGAAUAAUUUCUUCUCUACACAUAUAGUUCAAAGCUAUUACAACAACAACUACUUUGGUGGAUGAUUACUAACCAAAGAGAUGAGCACUUUCUUCUUCUCUUCAAAGAGGAGCUGCAACUCUCUUUUCCUGCUGCUCUAUUCUCUCUGUAUUCAGCUCAAAACAUAAAAUGAGCUCCACACUUUCUACUCACCCUCCGUAGCUUUCUAUCUCUUUCUCUUCUCUAUUAUUAGGCUGCAAAGGCAACCACCAAAACAUAAAGGACCAAAACCCACGGGUGUAGAAGAGAAAGUUGCCUUUUCCCCUUUUUUUCUCCCCAAAACAAGGAAUGAUGUUGUCCACCUUUUUCCUUUCCUUUAUAAUUUUAUAAUAGCCGAAAGUGAAUGACUUAUUUGGCCACUUGGCCACAUACUCCAACAAUCUCCACCUUGGCCAAGUUCCGAAAGCGCCAUGACAAGCCAAAAUGCUCCAAAACUCCUACUGCUCAACGCCUUCUUUAUAUAGGCAAAAUGUGAGCCAAGUUCAAGCAAUGAACAAACUUGGCUACACCAACAACCUUAGUCAACAUAUCAGCGGGGUUGUCUUUAGUUGAAAUCUUCUGGAGAAUGAUUUCCCCUUCACCAACAAUUUCACGAACAAAGUGAUAACGCACAUCUAUGUGCUUGGUCCUCGCAUGAUGAACCUGAUACUUAGCCAAAUAAAUGGCACUCUGACUAUCACAAUGUAUCUCCACCUGCUUCUGAUCGACCCCCAAAUCUCUAAUCAGCCCAUGUAUCCAAAUGACCUCCUUUAUAACUUCAGCAACUGCCAUAUAUUCAGCCUCUGUAGUAGACAAGGCAACAGACGACUGCAAAAUGGACCUCCAACAAACUGGCCCUUUAGCCAUAGUAAACACAUAGCCUGUAGUAAACUUUCUUCCAUCCAGAUCACCUGCAUAAUCUGAAUCAACAUAACCAACUGCAAAAUGACCAAUACCAGAGUCAUCUCUCUCAAAGCAUAAACCAAUGUCUCGAGUACCAUGGAGAUACUUCAAUAUCCACUUAGCUGCUUGCCAAUGCUCUUUACCUGGAUUAUGCAUAUAUCAACUCACCAUGCCAACUGCAUGAGCAAUAUCCGGUCUAGAGCAUACCAUUGCAUACAUCAAAUUACCAACCAAAUUUGCAUAUGGUAUAUUUUCAUUUGCAGCUUCUCUUUAUCAGUUUUAGGACACUGUAAAGAACUCAAUUUAAAAUGAGGAGCCAAAGGGGUACUAACUGGUUUGGUUGAAUCAUGAACUCCAAAUUUCCGAAUCAACUUUUCAAGAUAUUGUCUUUGAUUCAAACUGACCAAACCCUUCUCUCUAUCUCUAGUGAUCUCCAUGACAAGGAUCUUCUUCACUUCACCAAGAUCCUUCAUCUCAAACUCAUUCUUCAUUUGCUUCUUCAAUUUUUCAAUCUCUUCAAUUUUUCAAUCUCUUCAACAUUCUUUGAGGCAAUCAACAUAUCAUCAACAUAUAUCAACAAAUAAAUGAAAGACCCAUCUUGUAACUUCUUGAAGUACACACAAUGAUCAUAUUGACUUCUAGAAUAAUUUUGGCCUCUCAUAAAUUUAUCAAACCUCAAAUAUCAUUGUCUUGGAGAUUGCUUCAAGCCAUAUAGUGAUUUCUUCAAUUUGCAAAACAAGUUCUCCUUCCCUUUCACUAUAUACCCAUCCGGUUGACACAUAUAAAUCUCUUCAUUCAAAUCACCAUGUAGGAAAGCCGUCUUCACAUCAAGUUGCACAAGCUCAAGAUCAUAUUGUGCAACAAGAGCUAACAUAAUACGAAUUGAGGAGUGCUUCACAACCGGAGAAAAUAUUUCAUUGUAGUCAAUGCCCUUCUUUUGUGCAUACCCUUUAGCAACUAAUCUUGCUUUGAAUCUCACAUUGCUUUUUUCAUUAGCAUCUUCCUUCUUGGCAUACACCCAUUUGCAACCGAUAGCUUUCUUGCCCUUAGGCAAUUUAGCUAACUCCCAAGUCUUGUUCUUCAAGAGAGAAUUCAUCUCAUCACCCAUGACAUUGCACCACCUCUCCUUCUCCUCACUCUCAAUGGCUUCCUCGAAAUUGGAUGGAAUAUCAUCAAUGAUAAUAGGAAGAGCAAAAGCAACAUAGUCACUAUACCGAGCUGGCUUGGUAAUUUGUCUUUUUCCUCUGUUCUUGGCAAUAGACUCUUGAGGUGAAACUUGCUCUUCAACUUGAAUAGAAUCUUCAAGUUCAACUUCUUCAACAUCCUCAUGGUCUCCAACUUCUUCACUUGUAGUGGCUUCGACAUCAGCGGAAAUAGGAUUUGAAGUACCAGAGGCAACUUUCUCAAGCUCCACCUGUUGGACAUCUUUCACAUUAUUCUCAGAGUCUUUGUACAUAUUUUCUUCAUCAAAUGUCACAUCUCUGCUGAUUACAAGUUUCUUCAUCUCUGGGCACCACAACCGGUAACCUUUGACACCACUACUAAAACCAAGAAAGAUAGCAUUUUUGGCUCUAGGAUCAAGUUUAUUUUCAGUUACAUGAAAAUAAGCAGGCGAACCAAAAAUAUGAAUAUAAUCAUAAUCAGUAGAAGGUUUUCCAGUCCAUACCUCCAUUGGUGUCUUACCUUGAACAGCAGCUGAGGGUAAUCGGUUGAUAAUGUGACAUGCAUAAUUAACUGCCUCUGCCCAAAAUGACUUGCUUAAACCCGACUGAGACAACAUACAUCUAACCUUCUCAAGCAAGGUUCGAUUCAAUCUUUCUGCAACUCUAUUUUGUUGUGGAGUUCCCGAACACUGAAAUGUCUCACAAUUCCUUCCUCUUUGCAAACUUUAGAGAAAGGAUCGGAUGUGUAUUCACCACCAUUAUCCGAUCUCAAAAUCUUAAUCUUUCUCCCAGUCUGGUUCUCAACCAUUUUCUUCCAACCCAAGAAAAUGCUUAACACCUCACUCUUGUGCUUCAUAGUGUAGACCCAAGACCUUUUUGAAUAAUCAUCAACAAAUGUCACGAACCAAUGUCUACCAUUCAAAGAUGGAGUCUUUGUAAGACCCCAAACAUCUGAAUGCACAUAAUCAAGAAUGUCCUUCGUCUGAUGUACAGCAGUACCAAACUUCACUCUAGUUUGCUUUCCCAAGACACAAUGCUCGCAGAAAUCAAGCUUACAAGUCGUGGCACCUUUUAGAAGACCUUGUUUCACAAGCCCUUGUAGAGCUUUCUCACCGGCAUGGCCUAAUCUCAUAUGCCACAGUCUGGUAGUAUCAGAAUCGGAUGUGCCCAUAUUUUCUGAGACUACAGAUGCUUCACCUGUCACAGUGCUUCCUUGCAAUAUAUACAAAUGGCCACAUCGAGGAGCUUUCAUCACAACAAGUGCACCAUAAGUAACUUUCAAUGUCUGUCCAUCUGAAUGAAACCUGAAGCCCUUGGAUUCCAAAGUACCCAAAGAAAUAAGAUUUUUCUUCAAAUUCGGUACAUACCGAACACCUGUCAACUCUUUAACCAGGCCAUCAUGCAACUUCAAACGAACUGUACCAAUCCCUUUUGUUGUGCAAGGAUUGUCAUCUCCCAUGAACACAACGCCACCAUCAAACUCUUUCAAGCUUGAAAACCAAUCCUUGUGAGGAGUCAUAUGAUGAGUACAACCCGUAUCUAACACCCAUUUAGUGGCACAAUUAAAUGAUGAUGAAGUGGUUAAAGCAAAAUCAACAAAAUCUGUUUCAACCUCAGCAACAUUGGCUUCAGAACUUUCUUUUCCUUUGGCCUUCAACUUAGGACAAUCUUUCUUCCAAUGGCCCUUAUUACGACAAAAGGCACAUUCAUCCCUUUCCAAAGGUUUUCUACCUUUAGAGUUUCCUCUAGGUCGAGACUGUGAUUUUUUCCUACUAGUAGAGGACCUUAUCUCCGAUGAUCUACCUCUAACAAAUAAAGCUUCAGAGGUACUAUCAUGAUUUUUGUCUCUAUGCCUCAUUUCAUAAUUCAUCAAGGCAUUUGACACAUCUUCAAAUUUCACAGUUUCUUUACCAUGCAUAAUAGUGGUAACAAAAUGCUCAUAAGAGUCCGGUAAGGAAUUCAACAAUAUUAAGGCCUUGUCUUCAUCCUUAAUAUCCUCAUCUAAAUUUAACAAGUCGGCAAUCAACUUAUUAAAAGCAUCAAGGUGUCUAAUCAUUUUUGUACCUUCUUUGUAUUGGAAGCAGUAGAGUUUUUUCUUCAAGUGUAGCCGGUUCUUUGCCCUCUUCGUCAUAUACUUGUCUUCCAAUUUUUGCCACAACACACUUGCUACCGUCUCCCGCAUCACAAAAUACUUCUGAGUUUUUGCAAGGCACAACCGAAUUGAAGAGCAAGCCCACAAAUUUAAUUUCUCCCAUUCCGGCUUCGACAUAGCUUCCGGCUUCUCUCCCAAAGCGGCAAGUAGAUCUUGUUGAGCCAACACAUCUUUGACCUCACAUUGCCACAUCCUGAAGUUGUUUGUGCCAUCAAACUUUUCCACUUCGAACUUUGCAUUUUGCACCGUAGUUCUUGCAAACCCGGAGCUGCUUCCAAAAGGAUUCUCAUCUUGCCCGUCUGACAUCUUUGGCAACUAAACAGUACCCAAGAGCAACUAGUGCUCUGAUACCAAUUGUUGUGCUAGGAUAGCACCAAACCACGCGGAACCAAAUUAAGCUAACCCACAUAAAAUAUAUCAAAUGAAAUGCAAGAACAAUAUAGAGAAAAUAACACCAAGAUUUUAACGAGGUUCCUCUACAGUCAGUGUAACUGGAGUACGUCAUUGGAGCAGUAGGAGCUCACCCAAUAAUCCACUAUCAACCAAAUGGGAGUUUACAAAGUGUUGACAAUCUCACAACCCAUAAACCCAAUACACCCAAUAGCUCUCACACACCAAAGAAACAAAUAGAGAAAGAAAUAUAAUGAAUAAUUUCUUCUCUACACAUAUAGCUCAAAGCUAUUACAACAACAACUACUUUGGUGGAUGAUUACUAACCAAAGAGAGGAGCACUUUCUUCUUCUCUUCAAAGAGGAGCUGCAACUCUCUUUUCCUGCUGCUCUAUUCUCUCUGUAUUCAGCUCAAAACAUAAAAUGAGCUCCACACUUUCUACUCACCCUCCGUAGCUUUCUAUCUCUUUCUCUUCUCUAUUAUUAGGCUGCAAAGGCAACCACCAAAACAUAAAGGACCAAAACCCACGGGUGUAGAAGAGAAAGUUGCCUUUUCCCUUUUUUUUUCUCCCUAAAACAAGGAAGGAUGUUGUCCACCUUUUUCCUUUCCUUUAUAAUUUUACAAUAGCCGAAAGUGAAUGACUUAUUUGGCCACUUGGCCACAUACUCCAACAACCCCAAUGUCUUAUCUUUCCACUCAUCUUAUAUUCCCACCCACCAAAAAAAGUAAAAAAAAAAACCAUAUUAUUUUUCCACCUUCUAUUAUUCCCAAAGCACCCUUACCCCCAACACCCUGCUCAAUGGCCUCAUAUCCCAUCAUUACUGGUCGCUUAAAAAGCCCAGAUACCAUCAUAUCAAUGCUUGAUUUCCUUCCAGUAACAUGUCCUCCAUUCUAUUUUCAAUUCUUUGAAUUUCCAAAUAUGAAAUAAUUUUGAAACAAAAUUUUUAGAAUCUCUUUUUUUUCAUUUUUUUUUUUAAUUUCAGUUGCAAAGUUUUAGAAUCUCUUUUUUUUUUUUUAUACACCGAAUUCCUUUUGAAAAGAGUAGGUUGGUUAUAUACAAGUUUACCAUAGGAAUUACAGAGCUUAGGUAGUACAAGUUUUCCAUAGGAAUUACACCGAAUUCCUUUUUUAGUUACUGUUGAUUAUACAAUGUGAUUCCGUUUUUACCCCUUUUUUGUUUCUUUGGUCUUUUCGCUCUUCAGUCUUUUGCUUGGUUUUUGUCUAUCUGAGAAGGGAAUAAUCUAGAUGUACACGUGUGGAUCAUCUGGGAAGGGAAAGAGGUAGAAUAUACACGUGUUCAUUUAUCUUCCGUUAAAGAUUUGAUUGUUUAUUUCAUCUGGGAAGGGAAAGAGGUAGAAUAUACACGUGUUCAUUUAUCUUCCAUUAAAGAUUUGAUUGUUUAUUUAAUCUAGGAAGGGUAUAAUCUAGAUGUUCAUUUAUCCGAGAAGGGAAUGAUAACAACCACCACUAUUACAUCUCACAAUACAUAAAGAUUUGAUUGUUUAUUUAAAGUAUUUGUUGGCUUUUAAAAAUUUGUCCCGUUGUGAGAUUUUUCUUCCGUUAAAUCAGGCUUUUGUUGGGUGUGUGAGAAUGUGAAAAGUUUCUCUUUGUGUGAUUUAAAUGUUUUUUCUUGGUAGGCUUAUAUCAAACAAUAUUAACAAAUAGAUAUUUGUCGUAUUAGUAGUGUCAGUACCCACAUGACUUUGGACAUUAUUAAAUGGGACGGUGGGUAUUGGUCUCCUUGCCUCUUUUUUGUGUGUAUUUUAUAUUGGCAAAUAAGAACAAUGGGGUUGUAUGAAGAAAAGAUAGAUGGUCAACAGUAUACCCGGUUUUAGUAUAGAAAUAAUAAAUAAAUAUAAAUAUGCACUUUUGUUAUAUGUUAUGAUUUGUUGUAUAGAGAAUUGAGAAAAAAGUUAAAGACAAUUCCGUGUUUUUGAGUUACAGCAAUUAGUAAAUAUAUAAUGACAUUGAUUAGUUCACUUAAGAGUUUAAUCCUUCGUUGGUUUAUUUGUAUUGUGUGCCUGAGAAUGAAAGCAAUGGAUAAGGAAUUGUUCCUUUUAUUAGCAAUUAUAUGAAGUAGGCAUAUUAUGCAAUACAAGUUCUACAUUCAUUUAGUAAAUAUUGAGUUUAUUUUUAUCGAAUAGUGACAUUUGAUUCAGGUUUAAGGUUCUUAAAUGUUAGUAUUUUGAAAAUUGAUUUCAAUAGUCUUUUAUGAAUUUUUUUUUUUGCUUACAUAAUUAUGUGCUGCUUCAGGGACACCUACUGCAUUGGGCACAACUUAUUACGUUAUUAGACCCGGAUCUAAUUGCCUAAAAAAUAAUGAAUAGCUGUUUCCACUCUAAUUGCGCCGUUUUUAUUAUAAAACUUUCACACAUGUCGUAAUGUACAAAACAACAAAUAAUCAAAUGUAAAUUAGGUGAUAAUAUUAUUGUUAUUGACAGUGAGCUGAUGAGUCACUUUAAAUCAGAUGGGGUAUCAUUAGUUGACUUGGAACUAGUUGAAAUAAAAAGCGGCAUAUCUCUCUACCACCAAUGAGCACACACCUAGUAUCCCUGUACAGAAAACGAGCCAACUAAGCAUAGGGCUCAUUUGUCGAAAGAUUUUUCAAUGUUUUCGAAACACAUGCAUAUAUCUUAUAUGUUAUUAUACAAAUAGAUGGAUAUUUGAAGAAAAAAAUUAUCUCUAAUAUAAUGUCAUAUAGCGUACGGCGUGGUGUUUCAAGUACAUUGAAAAAUUUCUUCCAUUUGUCAUAUUGUUGAUGCUUUCAUUAAGGACUUGUUCCCCUCAUAAGUCUCUCCCACAUUUUAGGUCUAAACCGAAUGUCCCCCACCAAAAAGUAAUCUAGCAUGUAAAAGUGCAUGUGAUUUACAUUUAAGAAAGAGUGGUGUUAUUCACAAAUGUUUUUUUUUUAUCUUUUAUGCAUUUUUUUUUCAAUUGUUGAUUGUCGGAUAAAAUAAAUUAAAAAAGAUUAAAUAACAAAAAUUAACAGGACGUGUGCAUAUAGCACCACCGUCUGGAAAUAUAUAGCACUACUUAAAUGCUAUGCUCUCUAAGGUGGGAUCUCAACUCUCAAGUGAUGAAGAAUUGUGGAGUCACCGAGUGGAGUAACCGAGAUGACUCAAGUAGAAGCUCAUCUCCAAAAUAGAAGGAAAAAAAUGUUAAUUUUUGGGAUAAUGCUAGGAAGAUCAAGUUUUUAAACUAAAUUUGCAAAUCAAAUAGGCUUUUUUUAUUAGCAUCCUAUAUAAUGUUGAAUACACCUCCACAUUAAAAUUUAAUAUUAAAUGACUUAUAUACCCUACUAUGCUAUGACAACUUCGACCUUAUUAGGUUAUAAAAAAAAAAAACAAGAAAUUUCGAAAUACACUCCAAAUCAUUUUUAACUUAUUAUUUAUCUUCUUCAACUCUCAUAACCCGUCUCGCCCUCAAUUGUAGAAAAAAACAUUAAGCAAUGAAACUACAAACACACUAAUAUUGAGAACAAUUAUUUUUGACAAAUGGGACAUGAGAUUGACGUUUCGGAAAGCUUCAAGAUUUCUUGUUCAUGUGAAGUUUUGUUUACGUGAAGUUUUGGUUAUGUGACAGACAUCGAACGAUCAUUGUUGUUGAUGACCAACAGGUUAAACUAGUUGACGGACAGAAUCAAGGAGAGUAGAAGAGCAAUGCUGGAAACGGAGUAGCUUCAGGUCUCAAUCCUCCAAGAUUUCCAUCAGCAACGCCAGUCACUUCUGCAUGCACGUAAUAGAGUAUGAGUUAUGCCUUGUACACUCCGUUGAAUUAGGCUAAUGAGAAUAUGAGAUUGUUGAGGUGGUAACCCACAACACCUCGUUCAGGAUUUGCUGAACUAAAUCCCCUCAAGUUCAAAGUGGAGUUGUGCUUCACAUGUAGUUGGGAGAAAUUAGAAAAAUUCUGGUAUCCCACAUGCCUUCAGCUUCACACCGAAGGUGCUUUGGAUGAUAUUAUGUAUUAAUUGCACAUGAGAUGUAAAGAGUGGAGUGUAAGUAGGAAAUGUGAGGUGUAUAUAGAAAAUGUAAAGUGUAUUUUAAGAGUGGGGCGUGAGGGUACUAUGGAGAAACAAGUGGGGUGUAUUAAGAUAAUUUUUAACUAAAAAAACAAAUGUGUGAUGUAUUAAGUAUGUGCGGUGUGUUCAACAAUAUGUGUGGUGUUAAUAUAACAACCAUCAAAUAAUGUGUUACCAAUAGAAAAUAAGCACAUUAAUAACACUUAAGUAUCAAUCCAAUCAUCAACAACCAUAUCAUUUGGUUUAAAAUUUUGAUCUUCCUAACAUUACCCUAUUCUUUAGCAAAAACUUUUUACAAAAACAUUAUAAUUAUUACCUAACAGUAGGAAAAUAAAACUUAAUAGUAGUUUGAUGAAUCUUUUACCAUCUUGAUGAUCACCGUUUGUUUGUACCAUACUUAGGGCAUCUGUAUUUAGAUCUCGUAUAAAUACUUGGGGGACUUAAAUAUAAUUAUGUAAUAAAUGAAGGGGCAAAUAUGUAAAAAGGGGAGGAGCCCUUAGUCUAUAAAAGGGCCUCCUCACCCUCACAAUAGGGACAAGCUCUCAUAUUCAGAGCAAGCCCCUUCACCCUCUCAAAGCCUCACUCUCACAUUAUAGAGGCUCUCUCCCUCACAAUCCUCUCAGAGAAAUACAAUAUCAGUGUGGACGUAGCUCAAACAUUGGGGUGAACCACGAUACAUCUUGUGUUAUUUACUUUCUUGCAGAUUCACGGUCGGAUUUACGUUGUUCCAAGACCCCUCCAGUUUUGUGCAUCAAUAUUUGGCGCUGUUUGUGAGAAUCGAUACGAAAAGUUGUGUCGGUUCUCUUUCAUUUUUUCACCUCGACUGUGAAUCUGCAAAAUCACAAAAACCCAUAAAUAGAAAAGAUCAAAAUCUCAAACACUUAACACAAGCCCACAAGGAAGAUAAAGGUCGUUGCUUUUUGGGUUUUGGGUUCGUAUUCAGGAAACCCAGGGAAUCAAAUCUCUCUCUUCCUCUUCCUUUGUGAUCUUGUUAUCUUUUUUUUUUCCUUUGUUCUAUCAUAUUUCUUUGUAGAGGCAAGAGUUAAAAAGGCAUCAAGCCCAAAUGGAUCAGACGACUCAUCAUUAUUUUCUGCUGGUGCAGCUGAAGUCACAUCCUGCUUCAUUUGAUCAUCUUCAUCUGCUAUCUUUGUUCCAUCUUCCAGCACAGCUGCUUCCUUUCCCUCACGGUCGCCGGCCGACGAAUCCCGACGAUAUCAUCCUCCUGGAAAUGAGCAAAAGCAGACUUGGAGCUCGUAGAUUUCUUCAUCUUCUGCGGGAACUUGACGGGCACCUCGCUAGACGCCGGCUUGGUAUCUGACCUGACCCGGUUUAUGAAAUGGCUCAAGGUGUUUCAGAUUCAGAGGAAGAAGAGGAUCUUGAAGCAGAGGUUGAAGGUUUCUCCAGCUUUGAACUAGUUAGCCAUCGAAGAGGGAUCCGACCCGGUUCCUGAAAUGGCCCAAGGUGGUUCAGAUUCAGAGGAAGAAGAGGAUCCUGAAGCAGAGGUCGAAGGUUCCUCCAACGCCAGGAAGAUCGGGCAUAGGGAAUUCGCUACACUGUUCUACAGUCUUCAAAGUUGGAGGGGAAUAUUUAAGAGUUUCGACCGGGACAGAAGUGGGUUCAUUGAUGCAAAUGAGUUGAGAGAUGCACUGCUGAGUCUGGGAUAUUCUGUGUCACCUGUAGUUUUGGAACUGCUGGUCUCUAAAUUCGACAAGUCUGGAGGCAAAAAGAGGGCCUUUGAAUAUGACAAUUUCAUCGAGUACUGUCUGACUGUUAAAACAGUUGUCACUUUAGAGAAAAGCAAAAAAAGCAAGUGGGUGGUGUCAAGGCUGUCCAGGCAACUGUUACGUUUUACAGGAGAACAUGUAGGAAGUGGAGAGACAAAAGCAAAAGCAGAAACAAAAGCAAAAGCAGAAAGCAAAAGCAGUAACAAAAGCAAAAAGCAAAAGAAGAUAAAAAAAUUAAAAAAAAGCAGACAUAAUUGCGGUGGUGAUGGCAUGCAGAAAAGGGAAUUAUGGUUGUGACCUAUUGAACUGAGGGUCGGAUUUAUUUUUGAAUGAUGUGAUUUAUUUUUCUUAUCUUUCGAAGACAUCUGUAUAAACCCCACCAGAAGGUAAUCAUAAAAAAUAAAAAAAAAACAGCAAGCCUAAAAUAAUGGGCUAAAAUGUUUUGUAGAGGGCCAAGGCCCAUAUGCCCAAAAGAGCCAGGCCUUAUGGCUCCAAAUUUAUUCGGCACCCUGCCGCUAUUAUCAUCAACCAGGUGAUCAAAAGUACGCUUAGUACUCCAAAAUUAUUCGGCAACCUGCCGUUAUUAUCACCAACCAGGUGAUCAAAAGUACACCCAGUACUCCAAAAUUAUUCGGCACCCUGCCGCUAUUAUCACCAACCAUGUGAUCAAAAGUACGUCCAGUACUUCAAAAAUUAUACAUAAGCAUCACUCAUGUCAAUCAUACAUAAACAUUCAUGAGCAUCACUCAUGUCAAUCAUACAUAAACAUUCAUGAACAUCAUUCAUGUCAACAUUCAUGAGCAUUACUCAUGUCAACAUUCAUGAGCAUUACUCAUGUCAACAUUCAUGAGCAUCACUCAUGUCAAUCAGCUUCGAAAGCUUCAGUUACAGAGCUCCAGCUUCGGGAGCUCCAGCUUCGAAAGCUUCAUUUACAGAGCUCCAGCUUCGAGAGCUCCAGCUUCAAAAGCUUCAUUUACAAAAGCUCCAGCUUCAAAGCUUCACUUGCAAAGCUUCACCUACAAAGCUUCAGUGCAGGGUAUAUAAAUACCGCCUUCGAACAACCGUCACUACGGCCCAUACAUGGAUUGAAUUUGAAGUCUCCAGCCAACAACCUCUGUUGACUGAAGACUUGGGCAACUACACUAUGUACCAUAUAUUGGGCUUCCACAACUGGGCCUCAUGAAAAAUACUUGGGGGACUUAGCCCAUCAUUUAUGUAUCGAGGAGCGAGCCCUUUUUUUAUAAAAGGGACUCCCUCACUUUCAUUAGAGAGCACCCAUUAUUCAUGUACUGAGGAGCGAGCCUUUAUUUUAUAAAAGGGACUCCCUCACCUUCAUUAGAGAGCAUCGCCGUCAGCUGAGCAACCGCCUUGCCGCGAGCAUCACUCUUAACCCAUUAUUUAUGUACUGAGGAGUGAACCCUUAUUUUAUAAAAAGGACUCCCUCACCUUCAUUAGAGAGCAUCGCCGCUAGCUGAGCAACCGCCUCGCCGCAAGCAUCACUCCUAACCCAUCACUUAUGUAUUGAGGAGCGAGCCCUUAUUUUAUAAAAGGGACUCCCUAACCUUCAAACGCUACAAGCCAAGCCAACCAAGGCAACAUAAGCCACAAACCGAGCAGCCUCGCAAUAUGUGCUACUUCUAGUUGAGCAUCAUUUCACUUUGAGCACCACUUCAUAUCAAGUAUCAGUUCUAGACGACAAGUAGUUACUUCGGCCCACACAUGGAUUGAAUUUCAAGUCUCCAGCCAAAAGACUUUCUUGACUGAAGACUUGGGGGACUACUGUUUGUACCAUACUUAGGGCCUCCGUAUUUAGAUCUCGUAUAAAUACUCGGGGGACUCAAAUGUAAUUAUAUAAUAAAUGAAGGGGCAAAUAUGUAAAAAGGGGAGGAGCCCUUAGUCUAUAAAAUGGCCUCCUCACCCUCACAAUAGGGACAAGCUCUCAUAUUCAGAGCAAGCCCCCUCACCCUCUCAAAGCCUCACUCUCACAUUACAGAGGCUCUCUCCCUCACAAUCAUCUCAGAGAAAUACAAUAUCAGUGUGGACGUAGCCCAAACAUUGAGGUGAACCACGAUACAUCUUGUGUUAUUUACUUUCUUGCAGAUUCACAGUCGGAUUUACGCUGUUCCAAGACCCCUCCGGUUUUGUGCAUCAACACCGUUUCACCUAGCUGACAAACUCCACGUUAUCUCGCCGUUAGAAGAUUUUGGGUUCAAACUACCUUGAAUAUCGACUCCAGGCAUUUCUUGUUGGUUAAGAAAAGGUUUGGGGGGCAAUUUUAGGUUUUCAACAUCUCCUCCAAGCAUUUGUAUGACUUUGUCCAUCGAAGGGCGAUCACUUGGCUUCAUUUGAAUACACCAAAAAGCAGUCAUAACCAUCUUUUUUAUCAUUAUCUUUUCCUCCUCUGUAACAUUGCCCAUCUCCAAGAGAUCAUUUCCCUCACUAUAUUGAUCGUAAGCCCAUAACGGGAAGUAAUCUUGGCUCGAAUGCUCUGCGAUUCUACUAAAAUUUUUCCUUCUACUUGCCAUUUCCAUCAACAACAUUCCAAAACUAUAGACAUCAGCUUUGUAUGAGACCCCUCCAAUAUUUUUGUAGAACAACUCUGGAGCAAUAUAUCCCAUCGUCCCUCUUGCUGCCGUCAAAGUAACAAUGCUAUUGUCUACGGGAUAUAAUUU
This 53150-nucleotide long non-coding RNA is filed under the name Malus domestica (apple). RNAcentral describes it as "long non-coding RNA (MDOM_LNC006564)". The record is from RNAcentral. Lineage: Eukaryota; Viridiplantae; Streptophyta; Magnoliopsida; Rosales; Rosaceae.